Molecule: long non-coding RNA, 48121 nt
Filed under: Glycine max (soybean)
Lineage: Eukaryota; Viridiplantae; Streptophyta; Magnoliopsida; Fabales; Fabaceae
Description: long non-coding RNA (GMAX_LNC002014)
Source: RNAcentral
GAACCUAACCUGUCAAAAAAGACCUACAUUGUACAAAACAACCAGAACCAUGAACAACCAACACAAUGUUGAAAACAUUAUCGAAUCCAACCAAAACACUGUCGUAAACAACCAAAAUAACCAGAACCAUGAACAACCAACACAAUGUCAAAAACACUAUUGAAUCCAACCAAAACACUGUUGAAAACAACCAAAAUAACCAGAACCAUGAUUUUACUGUCGAAAAAAGCUUCAAGAGAAAAACAUAUCGUGAGAGCAAGAGUGACAAUGAUAUAUACACCGUUAGCAAGAGUGAGUUCAACAGUGACGACACUGUGAGUGACACGACAGUGGUUUCACCGUGAGCGAAGAGUGGUUUCAGCGCCUCGAGAGUGAGAGUGAGACGGACAAAAGAGGGUUUGUGAGGGAGACGAGCUAGUCGUGAGGGAGACGAAGCAUGAGGGAAAGGCGAGUGAACUACCAGAAGCGUGAAAAAAAUUAUAAAUAGGAUAAUACAACGUCGAUUUUUUCCAAAAACCGAUAUCAACAAACUAACGUUAACAUCGAUUUUUUGGAGAAUCGAUGUUGACAAAAUCACGUUAUUUACGAUUAUGCCACCACAUUUUGGUUUACAUUGUUUUUAACGAUGUGAAACGUAAAUUUUGUAAUAGUCAUCAGAAUUUGGCAUUGCCUUGUGACUUGUGAGAGAGUGUAAUGUGUAACCUUGUGGUUGAGAUUAUAUUUAGGGUAAAUAUCCAUUUUGAUCCUUAAAAGUGUGAGGUGGUUAUAAAUUGAUUUACAAAAGAUGAAAUUCAAAUUUACUUUCUUAAUAUGUAAAAAGUGCGAUAGAUUAAUCUUGUCAUUAAAUUUGUAAGGCUAUUUUGUCAUUAAAUACGUUUAAGGAUCAAUUUGACAAUAAAUUCUAUUUUUCUAAAAAGGUGUAAUCUAGAGAAACUUCUAGGGAGUGUAUUUUUUUGGGCAUAACUAGAAUGAAAAAUAAAAAAUAAAAGGAGAGUGUAUAAGUGGGAAGCGGAGAGUGGGUAUAUUAAUUGCCAAAUCCAAUUAGAAUAAUUUGAGCUUUUAAAGUCCACUUCACAAAUAAUCCAUACAAAAAUAAAAAUAAAAUAGAUAAAAUACAUUAAAGAAUACAAUAAAAAAUGCAAUUAUAAUGCAAUGAAACAAAAUUACCUAAUGUAGAGAACUUAAGCGUUGCAGUUAUCAUUAAUUCUCUUUAUCGUUUAUAGUAACUUUAUUCUAAUUUUAUAAGGUAUAUAUAACAAUAACAAAUAACAAAUAAUAUGAAUGAAUUGCUUUUAAAAAACGUUAAUACGAAUGAAUUUGAAAACGGUUAUAUGUGUAAGAAUUAAAUUUGUUAAUUUAAAACAUUUUUAAUUAAUACGGAGACCGAUUAAAGGCACAGUGAACUUUAGAAGUAUUGUUUUCGGACCACGAUAUAUAUUUCGACAUGCCAAUAACUAGCAACAGAGAAACAUCAAAUCAAGAAUAAUAAUAAAAAAAAAAGUGCCACGUUGAUUCAUAAUUAAGAGAAAAUAGUCAUAAAAAAUUGUUCUAUAGGUCACACAUCCUUAGAUAUAAAUUAUGAUGAAUUCUCUGCCCAACGAGGAUUAUGUCAACAGUACAGGGACUACUGAAGUUAGUCUACUCUUCACAUAACGUGGGUAUCAUGGUGAUGAAAGAAAUAACGUUUUACUCAUAUCCUGGGCUCCUAGUUUUUAUUUUUAUUUGAGUAAAAUAUGUUUUUAAUUUAUGUAAGAAUGACUCAAUAUGAUUUUUUCACUAAUUUUUUUUCGUUAUUUUGAUUUUCAUAAUUUUGUUAUACAAAAAUCUCAUCAAUAACAUACAUCUAUUUAUGUUACAUUAUAGUAUGUUAUAUCAGAAUUACUAAUGUAAUAUGAUUUUAUAUACCACAUCACUAUUAAGCGGUGACCAAAAAUGGUUUUUAAAAUUUUAAAAUUUAAAAGGAUUAAAAGAAAAUAAUUCUUUUUGAAAGAUCAUAACUAAAUAAAAUUCUAAGAGUUUUUUUUUAUUCAGUAAGAAAUCAGUCAUGUCCUUAUUACUUACCGAAUUAAAAACUAAUCUUAUUAUUUUUAAAAAAAAUUACACAUAAUAAUAAACAUAAAUUAUUAUAUUAAAUAAAUUAUUCUUACAUGUAAAUACAACUCAAUAGAAUUUUAUAUCAUUACAUAAUUCUUUGAAUUAUGUAAAAGAAUUAUAUAAUGAUAUAAAGUUGGUAACUAGUUCAAAGAGACUGAAGUAGGUCAAUGACUUCAAGCGACAAGUAACUAAUACACAGAUUGAAUAAUUUAAUUUCUUUAUCCACAAAGUAGUUGGUAUAUACACGCCAACAUGUCGGUUUUCACGCAUAAUAAAUGAACAUGAACUAAAUCUCCAACAUAUAAACUAAAAACACACUUGUAUUGAUGAGAGUUAAUAACCAAAGAUACUCAAUAAAAAUUAACCAUUUUUUUUUGUUUCCCACAAUGCUUAAGAUUUAAAGCAUUAGAAACAACCAAGGAGUUUCUUUGGAGCUGUUCCAGUUGCUCUAUACUUUGCAGCUUGCUCCUCUGCCUUAAGAAGAUCUUCCCCUUUCUUUGCCUCAAUUAUUGCUCUUCUUUCUUCAGCUUCCUUGUGGAUUGUAGCAAUUUUGUUUUUUAUUUUCUCUGCAGCUUCUGCCUUUUUCUUCUCCAGUUCUUCCUACUCAGAUGCAAAAAUAAAAAAAUAAAAAAAGUGAACUUUAAUUUCUUCUUCUCUUUGGGCAGAUUCAAUAGAGAAAUAAUCACAUGAAACCAAGAUUUAAAAUUACAAAAAAGAAGAGAAGAAAAUGAACACAUAAAAUAUGUUAGAACUACUAAUGAAAUCAAUUCUUACUUCAAUCUUUUUCAGGUCCGCCUCCACUGCAGCUUUCUUACUGUUUUCCCAUGCAGAAACUGAUGAAAGCUUUUUGUGAGCCCUGCUUAACAAUUUCAUUUAAAUUAUUAUCCUAGACAUUGUUGACCUCAAAUAUUCAUAACAUGUGACCUCAACUUGAUGUUAGGUUGAUUAAUCACCAUGAUUAAGGUGACUCAAUUGAAGAUUCUAACUUUUGAACCAAAGGGUGUAGAUUCUCACUUGUUUUCAGCUUUUGAUUUUUCACUUUCUUCCCAUGCUUUGAUUAAUGACAACCUCUUCUCAGUUGCAACUCUUGCAAGCACCGCAUCUGAAGACAAACGAGGCAAAAAUUUUAAUGUCAGGAUACAAAAGGGUACAUAAAAAGGGAAUAUAGAUGUCAUAAUGUAGACAAAUGAUAUACCUCGGUUGAUAGAGCCCUCAGUUGGUUUCACUUCAGCAACUUCUUGAGUCUCUGGCAAUAACCAAAUUAACAACAAUAAACAAAACAAAAACAAAUGUACAGACCAAGGUUAUGUUCAUACAUUUAGUGAUGAAACAUAAGGUUAUUUUUUGUUGCAAACUAUUGCUGGUCUGUUACUAUAACUUAGUCCCAAGGUUUAACAUCGAAAGGAAAUCAAUCCCUCAAUUGUGAAUGAACAAAACUCAUUCUUUGUGUCUUUUAUGAAGUUAAGAGAAAAGUAUGGUAUUUAUUUUGAGGAUAAAAUUGAUUCUAUUUGAGUAAUUAUGCAACAAAAUAUAAAUAUUUUGCUGUAAUUCUGCUUCAAUCAAUCAAUGAACUGGACAGCUCAUAUUUCCAAUUAGUUUUUGUUGGUAAAUCCGUAUACUCUCCUCUAAAAGUUUGCGUGGAUGAAAUUUUUAAGGAGGUAACUCUGUUUUAAGUCACACACAAAUAAGCACUAUGAAGAUUUGAACCAACACACAAUACAUCACUAUAAAAAAACUAAAGAAUAGUAAUGCUUAGAAAAAUUCCAAUCAUUAAGCCUACUGAAGUUGUAAAUGGAUACAAAAUAUGGGUAGAUUUGAAUUUGCGGGUACUUUGGCCUAAAAUGUGAAAGGUUUUGUAUUUUGCAUGAAAGCUGGACUCCUAACAAGCUUGCAAUUGGAUGAUAGUAGUUUAAUAAGUUUAUGCCAAAUUACGUUGUACUAGGCUUGGAUUUUAAAGAAGGACCACUCUGUUUGCUAAUAGAAGUACAAAGGUGCAGAGUAAUUUGAGAAUAAUGUUUUGGAUUGAACUACAGCAGGAAAGUUCCAGCAAAAGUGAAUAUGAAAAAAUACAAGAAAACACAAUCAAGGACAAGAAAUAACUGAUAGUCAUAUAAUCGAAUAACAUGAAAAAAACGGGUUAGGAAAUAAUAAAAAAAAAAUUCAGAAAUUAAAAUCAUUGCUCACUUAUUGUUUAUAAUUAUUUAAGAGAAAAACAACAAAAUAUUUAUAUUGCUGCCAGAAGAUUCUUCUGAGAAGAACAAGGAAUAUGGCACGAAACUUUCAGGAAAAUCAAGUCCAAAACCAGUGAACAACCAUGCAAUAAUUAAAAAGAAAUUUCAAAGAAGCAGAAGGAAUUGUCAAUAAAAAAAUCUCUUUCUUUUUCUCUCAAACAGUUAUAAGAUAGUAAAAGUAAAACACCCUUUGCAAUAAAGAAAGCACAAAUUAAGUUCUUCAAAGAAUUAGUUAAUUAACCAAAUGGAUUUUAAAAAAAGAAGAUAAAUAAAGUAUAGAACAUAUGCAGAGAGACUCCAACAAAAAAUUGCAGAUAGAUUUCAAUUUCUUUUUCUUUUCUUUAUCCUCACCAACCAUAUAUAUAUAAUCCCAGCUUUGGGAACAUGACAACAUAACCAACCAGAAUCAACAUUAUAAUAUCUUACUCUCAACCAAGACAAGAGCCUUGGAUUCAUCAGGCUUGUCAUCAGAAGAAGGCACUGGAAUUACAGAUUUCUCCUCAGUCACAUCCUUUGGAGCCUCAGGAACAUGUUCAGCCUCAGCAGCAGGAGGAACCUGUGAAGGAGCAGCAGCAGCAGGUGGUGGUGUUACUGAUUCUGACUCAACCGUUUUGGUUUGUUCUUCUGUCAUUUUUUUUCUCCUAUGAAACUCAGAACUCUGUGGCACUCAAAAGUGGUAAACACACAAAAAAAGGUGUAACUACACUUUCACUUAUUUAGGAAAAAAUCGACACUUAUUGUGGAGUGAGUCAGAGAGAGAGACAAUUGAGAAAAGGGUUUUGAUUGGAUGAGAUAUUAUAGUUGGAGGAAGGUAACUGCUUAACUCUAAGUUCCAAAAGCUUAGCUGUGUGUUAGGUACUUGUGGCCUCACAAUGCGUUGGCACAGUAACAAUAUAUAGAGACCAUUGAGGACUAUGAAAGCAACACAUGCUAACAAUUUAUGUAUAGAAGCAAAUGUAAAAUGGAGGAUAAACCCAACAAAGAGCUCAAUCACCAUUCUACGCCUGUUCUUGGUGGGUCCUUUCAUUAAUUUCUUCUUGAUUCCACUAAUGACAUGAUUUUUUUCCUACCAGUUUCGAUACAGAAUUAAAGAAUGGUGGGAAUUUUAAUGGUACCAUAGGUGAAUCAAAAUAGAGUAUGGUACUUUGGAUUUAAAAUAGAUAAAUACGUAGGUACAAUAUCUGAUUUUUACUUAAUUAGAUUUAUGGAUUUACAAAUUAGAUAGAACUGGAUUGAACCGGAUAAAUAGUGAUUCGUUAUAUUUUUAGUUGUAGCAUUGUUUGGUUUGACCAUGAAUUUUGUAAAUUAAAUUCAUUAAAUUAUUCAUUAAGUUAUUUUUGAGUUUUUAAAUAAUUGUUCAGCUCACAAUAAUUUGUACUAGUAUUAUUUUACAUUUAUUUAAUUGAUUGCUGAGGCCAUGAAUUAUACCUUUUUUGUUUUUUUUUAAUUAUAGAAUUAUACCUUUUUUGUUAUUUAUUUACUCACAGUUCAUUUUUUAUUUAUUUAUCAGAUUUAUUUACAGUUCAAAUAAGGACAGGCUAUAUUAUAAAUGAUUUGUAAAAUAUUAAGAAAAAUGUAUUGGAAACAAGUGGUAAUAAGUUUUACAUGAUAAAAUUUGAAAGAAAAAAAUUUAAUAGUACAGUAGAACAAAUUCAAUAAUAUUAUCCAUUUUUAUUUUAUGGUGAGUAGGGGUGGCAAUAGGUCAAGCCGGCCUACAGGAGCCUACGACCUGACCUACAUAAAGUCUGGUCUGAGCUGGCCUAUUUAAUUAAAAUGGUAGGUUCAGGGGUUUAUAUAUAUAUAUAUAUAUAUAUAUAUAUAUAUAUAUAUAUAUAUAUAUAUAUAUAUAUAUAUUAUUUUUUGGGUACCAAUAUAUAUCAUUAUUUUUUUGGAUACAAUUAAUUUUUAAAAAAACACUAUCAGACUUUGAUUACACAUUACUGCUUCAUAAUUUCUAUUCCUAUAAUCAAGGACUUUAAUUACAAUUUAGGUGUGAGUCAUGUGCCCUUUUAUAUUUCUCAUUAUUUUGAUUGACUUUCCUUUUUCUUUAACUUUCCUAUUACGUUCCUACUCCAUAAAAUAUUAAAUAUUUAUUGUGAAUAAGAUUUUUAAAAAGGUUAUCAGCUCAGGCCAGACUUUUAAAAAGACCAGGCCGAGUCAAAAUAAAAGUCUUUGGUAAAUUAUAGGUCAGACUCAGGCCUCAAAGAUUCAUCGCUAGGCUCAGGCCUUUCAAAAUCUGGUCUGACAUGGCCUAAUCAACUUGGUGAGCAAAAAAGGAUUCACUUUGCUCCUAGAUUUAUAUUUAUCUAAAGUCCUGAAAUUUGAUUUAUGCCGAAAAAAUUGUAUUACUUGUGUCAUCUUUUAAGUGCCGCUAUAAAUUCUCAUUAAAACUUGUGAUAUUCUUAUUAACCUUCAAAUAAGGAUGCACUGCAUUUAUUUAUGAUAAUCGACUCCCCUAUGUGAUUACCCUAAGAUUUGAUUCGCAAUAAGACAAGUAGGAAGCAUACUUCUUCCACCGUUGCACCAACCUUUAAGUUCUAUUUUUAUCAUCCACACUUAAUUAUAAUUUUUUUGUAGUUGAAUUAGUGCAUUAAUAUUUUGUUGUCAAUUUGGAAUAACUUGUUUCUGUUUGGAAGAUAUUCCUUAAUUUCUGAUCGCUUUGUUAGGGAAAGUAGUAUUUAAUUAAGUAGUCAUGAAUUGUUGGUAACUCUUUUGUGUGGUUGAUAGUUCACGUCAUUAUUGGCAAAGAAAUUUGUGAUAAAUACAAUAAAGUAAACCAACAUUAUUAAGUCAUCACCCCUCAAUUAAUCUAUUGAUUGAUGAUGAAAAUUGAUUAUUCAUUGGUGUUUUCGUAUUGGUCAAGGUUACACCACAUAUAAACACAUAAUAACGUGCUCUAAAUACCUUGCAGAAUGGGAAGUCUUCAUCUCAAAAUUUUAUAUAUUGAAUAGUUUAUCAAGAUUCCUUCAUAUCGUGCACAAAAUAGAAUCUUUCGUGUGAGCUCACCUUGUCAAAGACUUGAAGGAAAAUUCAUCAUAGCUAUCCCCACAAAAGACAACAUCAUCAUGUAUCACAAUCAGUCUCAAAUCAACCGAGACUCUCAAUCAACCAAGUUGGUUUCUUCCUCAACUUAUGAUAUCUUAUUAUCAAAGCUUUUUUAUAUUUUAGAUUUCAAUGUUAUGAUUUUGAAACAAAUCUCACCUAGAUAUGGUAGGUUUAAAAGGAUGAGCUUGCUUCUGAUUUAUCUCAAUAAAGUUGAGCUUCUUUGUUUCAACAUAUAUUAAUUCGUGUAAUCCUUUGGUCAUUUCAAGGUCAAAUUAAUUUUAAUUAAUUGAAAAUUAUAAUCAUUCCAGAUUUUGAUAUAUUUUAAUUAAGAAUUUAAAUAUAUUAGGUAAAUUAUAAAAGUAGUUUUACUCGUGUUAAUUGUAAGAAAAAAAAUAAUUUUUGGUCAAUUUAAAAACAUGUUUAAAAUUGUUAUAGUAAUUAGGUAAAUUAUAAAAGUGUUUUAAUAUUAUCCAUAGAAGUUAAAAAUGGUAGUUUUAGUUGUAUUUUCCUAAAAAAAUCUAAAUACUCUAUACUGUAAAGUUCCUUUUUAAUUUUUAACUAAAACAACCCCACACUAAUUUUAAAAUUUUAGCUUUGAAGUGAUUAUUAUAAAUUAGUUUUAUCAAAUUAACAAAUUUUCAGUGCCUUAAAUUUUAUGUAAAAUAAAUAAAUUUGUUUUUUUAUGUCGUAAUACAAAUUAAUGUCAACUAAUUAGCUGAUUAAUUGAGCAUAAGUUGUUUUUUUUUCAAAAAAAAAAAUAAAAGUAUUUCUAAGGUUGACAUAUUUUUACUUUUUUUUCUAAUUAAAGUUAUAUGGAUGGUUUGUGAAGGAACACAUCUACCAUCUACGUAGGGAUGCAGCUUUUAUUAGAGCUUAAAAAGGUUUCAUAUUCUUUUAUGAUAAUUAUAAUUCUUCCAAGGAAAAAAUAUCACCAAAUAAUAAUAAUAAUAUUUUUUCGUUUUAUAGAGUUAACCAUAUCACCCUUAAUUUUGUUAUCGAUGAUUAAAUACGUCAAGCAAAAUCAUUUUUAGUUAUCUCUUCCCAAAACCAUUAUCCAGAGUGCGUGUUUGGGAAUGUGUUUAAUUUAGACACAUGUAUCUUUUUAUUUUCACGUCAAAACGUUGUAAUAAUGAAGAAGUAAAGAUUAAUUGCUUCAAAAAUUCAUGUCACGUUACACCGACAACCAUUUCCAAACACUCUAUGUUAACCCGAAUGAAUGCUUAGAGAUUUUGGUAAAUUGGCUGGUGGAUUCAUGUUUAUGGAAAAUGUAAAUAUGAUAUGCUUUGUUUCAAAAUUUUGUUGAUCUCAUGUUGUGGGGCUGGUGUUGCUUCCCCCGACCUGCUUCAACGGUUUAUCCACCUUUUUUUUUUAUUUGAUGAGACUAUUUCCUUAUUCCGGUAUCAUAUGCAAAUUGGAGUAGAAUUAAGUUAAAGUAGUUUUCUUUUUAGUUACCUUCUCUUGUAAAAUCACGAAACAAACGAGUGUAAUGUGGAUACCAAGUGUGAUCCUAAACCACGAAAAUUAAAGUGAUAGGUCCAAGAACAAAAAAGAAAAAAUAAAAAGGUGGGUCGAACAAACAAGUACAAAUUGUAAAAUUGACAGGGAAAUUGUCGCUAUAUACCCCCUUGCCUUGCACACUGUUUUAGUGAGACAAAAAACACCUGUUUGCUUAUUCCAUGAUUCCAUCCCUUUGUUUGUAUUCGGAAUUGCACAUGCCGUGUUUCAUGUUUGGACUAGAAUUUUGGAGAUGGUAAGAUUCAUUUUUGGCCAUUCAGAACAGUAAGAUGGGAUAAGUACCAUUUGAAUUGGAACUCGGACUUUUAAGCCACCAAAGCAAAAAUAUAUCAUGAAUUAGAAAAGGAAAAUUAAAUCAAAGAAAUAAUACCAUAAUAAUUCGAUAUGUUGAGAAAUUGCACACCCUUUUGUAUUUCGGGAGUUUGGUGUGAGUUUGUGUUUGUGUUUUUCUUAAUGAUAUUCAUAAAUGUGUGCCUUCAAAAAAUGUUGAAAAAUAAGUGAACUCUUGACAAAACCUAUUAUCAUUAAUUAUUAUUUACACUUAUUUGAUAGUUCAUUUUAGUAACUUUUCUUCAAGGAUAUUUUCAGGUCAGUUUUCAUGUCAAAUAUUGAAAUUAAUUGUCUGAUAUACACCCUUUUGUAUUUUGGGAGUUUGGUGUGAGUUUGUGUUUGUGUUUUUCUUAAUGAUAUUCAGAAAUGUGUGCCUUCAAAAAAUGUUGAAAAAUAAGUGAACUCUUGACAAAACCUAUUAUCAUUAAUUAUUAUUUGCACUUAUUUUGAUAGUUCAUUUUAGUAACUUUUCUUCAAGGAUAUUUUCAGGUCAGUUUUCAUGUCAAAUAUUGAAAUUAAGUUCUUAUGUAUCAUUCAUAUUUGUCUGAUAUGUUUAGAAGAAUUAAUUAACUUCUUUAAUAUUGAUCCAAAAUAUAAUUUUUGGGUCAUCUCUUAUUAAGGAUGGUUAAGGAACUCGUGAACUGGUUUAACAUAAGUAAGGCGUGAGGUUCAUUAAUUAAGGAAGGGAGGGUGGGAUAGAGAGAUUCUUUGAAUCUUGAUUUUAGGAAUAUAUAUAUAAUUGCAAUUUUCAUGUGACAUUGCUAUGUAACACAAUUUCUUUUUUAUUGUACAGUUCAUAACUAAAAAAAACCUCAACCUCUCCAUCGAUUACUCCACCAAAAUUUCACAUUUUUAUGAUCCUGUCCUUCGCAAAAAGACACAAUUUAUCUCAAUUCUUAACAGAGUAAAGAAAAAAAAAAUAUUUGUAAUUUAAGGAAAAGAAACAUGACCAGUGAAUUUCACUUGGGUCACUUGAUGUCCUCCAAAGCUAAAGUUAUUCUUCAAUGUAAUUUACAAGAGUACGCUUCUGAAUAAAUAUAACAGUUUCUAAAUAUAACAGGAAUGUUCAAUGCCAUCACAAGUAACAAAUUAAAUUUAAGCAGCACACAAGGGCAAAACUGUAAGAGAAAGUGCAAGUAAGAUUUGUCUUGGUUUGUUUAUAACUUGUGGUAUGUAUUCACUUUACAAGCAAUCAUUCAAGAUUUUUGUCAAAGAAAAGUGAUGUGUUUUCCUUACGAGGAUAUAAUAGCAACCUUUUUUGUACUUUUAACUCAGAAAUAGAAUAGAAAUAAUGUAUAGAUAACUUCUCUUAUAUUUCAAUUGCUAUUAUAGAUAAAUUUUAAUGGAAAUCAAUCUACAUGUGUACUAAAAGGUAAAAUUAUAAAUUUGGUCAUUCUAUAGUAAAAUUAUAAAUUUGUGGUCAUUCUAUAGUAAAAUUAUAAAUUUGGUUUUCGUAUAAUUUAAUGUACAAUCACGACGCAUGUCCUCAAUCCUAUUACUUAAGUUCUCAAUUCUGAAAUUCAACUUUGACCGUUAAUUACUUAUUUUGACGGUCACGUAUCAUAAUUUUAUUGGACGUUAACCGUCAUUUGUUGUGAUUUUUAUUGGAGGUUAACGUUAAUUAGGUGCACAAAAUUAAAGUCCAAUAAAAUCGCAAUAUAUGACGGUCAAUGUCCAAUAAAAGGGUGACGCGUGACGGUCAAGAUAAACAAUUAACCGUCAACGUCUAAUUUUGAGAUUGAUGACUAAAAUAAUGGGAUUGCAAAACACCUGAGGACUAAAUUCGUAAAUUAAAUUAUAAGUGAUCAAAAUCAAAUUUUGAGACAAAUAGAAAGAUCAAAUUUACAAUUUUGUCAAAUAAAAUAUGAAAAUCAACCACUCUGAAAAGAUGUGUUUGUAGGUACAUAUAUAAGAUAAUAAGAUGAUAUACAUUUUCACGCUUAAAUGUAUAGAACACCGACAAAUUUGUUCAUUAAAUAUAAAAAUUUAAAUUUUAGUCCCUAAAAGUAAAAAAAAAAAAAGUGUGACAAAUCUAUUUAUCUAUUAAUUUCUAUCUAUUAAUUUCUGUCUAAUACAGUUAAUGAAAAACCUACUUGACAUUUUCAUGAACAAAAAUAACUAUUUAUCCAAAGUAUAAUUUAAUUUUCAUCUUCUUCUUUUUAUAAUCCGAACAAGAUUAUAAUAUACACUUAAAAAAUAAAAAUAAACACAAAUAAGAACAAACAUAUUCUAAGUCAUGCAAGGAUUUUUAUAUCUAUCAAAGGUCCUAAAGCCAUUGGGCUAUCCAAUGCAAAUUCCUCAGUCCGUUAUCAGUGGGGAAAAAAAAUAGUUUCCAUUUAUUCACGCUAGAUUUGAUAUUGGAAUCGCACUUGUCAUCUUAGGAUGAAUAAUUUUUAAAAAAAAUGAACCAAACAUGUCAUCUUUGGUUUUCACUAUUACGAAAUUACUGAAAAUAUUUUAUUUUUUUGAAAUACAACUUUUAAUCUAUUAUAAAUUAUAAUUUUUGUAAUAUUUUUGCCACCUAUUAUAGACAACCUAUUUUGAAUAUUCAUUACAAAUAAUCAAUUAUUCAUUAUACAAAGAUUAUUCUUAUUAAUCAAUGUUGUGUUUAUUAUUAUGUUUGUUCUAAGUUAUGUUUAUUUUAUUAUUUUUUUAAAUAUUUAUUGUAAUGUGAUUACAACGAUUAAAAUAGGAGAAAAAGAUGAAUAUAAAUUAUUUUUAGUAAAUAUAUAUUUUCUCCCUUGAAUAUGUAGAUUGUUGAUAAAUUCAUUAUUAAAUGCUCCACCUAGACUUUUUCAUUCAUGGCAACCCACACAAGUUAAUAGACGGAUUGAUUUGUCGUACUUUUUUAACUUUCAAAGACUAAAAUUUGAAUUUUCAUCUUUCGAAAAUAAAUUUAUCAACACUUGACCCAUUUAAGAAAAAAAAAACUAUUUACUCAUAAUAAAAUGCUAUUUAGAUAGUAAUAUACCACUUGAACUAUGAUAUUACAUUUGUUCCAUUUAUUUUAUUGUGAGUGAAUCCAUAUCUUUAAUUUCGGUUUUUUUGAGCUUCAAGCAUAAAUUGUGCAUUUUGAAGUUAGUACUCUUAUUUCAUUGGAUGCUGUUCUACGCCAAUGACUCACGUACCAGUUUUUGUUUUUUUUUUUUUGUUUUCAUUUAGUGACAAAACAUUUAAAGAAUGCAUCUAUCACUAUAAUUGUAGAGAAGAAAACCCACGUGCUAUAAUAAUCAUUGAGAUGAAUUUUCUCCCAAGCAACGGGCAAGCUAGGCAGCAUAGCCAUUAAUUAAGGUUUGAACUUUGAAGACACCCUUUUUCAAAUUAUUUAUAUCUGCUUUCAUCCUCAUAUAUACGAAGUUCUACACCUUAACUUAAAUUUAAUCAAACAAUGAAUAUGAGAACAAGUAAGUAAGUCCACACGUACUUUCAUAACGAUGAAUUUGAUCCUUCACUACAAAAAAGUAAUGAUUUGUGGUGGCUAAAAAUAUAAUUUCUAGUGACUAAAAAUCAUCGCAAAUGAUAAUUUUAAUGACUCAAAGUUGUCAGGACUAUGUUCAUCACAGACAACUUUUAACGAAAAAGGCUUAAAAGGGUUUAAAACAUAUGCAACGGACAAAAAAUUGUAUUGUGCUUAAAAUAGAUUGUUUCUUUUUUAGAAAUUGAAUAAUGAUAUCCAAAAUAUAGCACAAUUCAAAUUGAGUCCUUAAUCCAAUCUACAAUAACAACAAAUAUUACACAUGAAAAAUUGGUUAAAAAAUUUAUAAAAUAAUUUGAUUUAAACAAUGUGAAACUUAAUAGAAUUAAGAAAUUUGUAUGUUGUCAUUAAUACAUAAUAAAAUCGUGUCUCUGUUGUAUUUUUUUACACUCACUUACACAAUGAAAAUUUCGUUGUGUAUUUUGUCAUCAAAAUCAUGAUUAUGUCAGAAACACCUUUUCAAGAAAACAAAAUUUAAAGCACAUGGAAGGGGACUAAAUAGAAAAUUCUGAGGUGAGAAUAGUAGUUCCCCUGUAAGAUCUAUUCAUCCAAGUGAGGCCCAAUAUUGAAAUUUUGUUAUCCCAAAUCUUGCCAGAAAACAAAACAAAAUGGCCAACCCCGGCCUUUUCUCCAUACAGUAUCUAGAUUUCUUUUACAUCCAAUAUUUUUUUGAAUUUUUUAAAAUUAUCCUUGCUAAUAAACAUAUGGAUUUGUUACCCGUAUUGUCAAUCUGUAUCAGCUAAUUUUUUUUAAAAAAAAAUAAUUUUUUUUAAUAAAUUUAAUUAUAGUUUUUUUUAUAAUUAUGACAUUAAGUAGACUUUUGUUUCCGGUCCUAUUACAAUUAAUUUUGAUCUAAUAAUAUAUUUUUUUACAUAAAAAAUUUUAAAUAAAAAUUUAUAUAUGUAAAAAAAUUAAUUAUUAGAUCAAAAUUAAUUAUCACAAAAUUUAUUAUGUAAACUUAUAUGUGCAUUAAAUAUACAUUAUAAAUUUUAGUAUUAUAUAUAGUGAUAUUAAUUAUUUUAUAACAUAAUAAGUUUAUUAGUUCAGUUGGUUAGAGUGUUAUGCUAAUAAUGCAAUGCAUACGAAUUGUUAAACUGUAUGGAUCCAUACGGAUUGUCAAUACAGACCCUUCUGUAUGAGCCUUACAAAAGAACGUUUUUGAAAUUUCCUUCUCAUUGUUGGGUGUAGAAGAAAAACAGUUGGUGCAAAAAGAAAAUCCUGUCAACUCCUUUGCCAUUUAGCAACUCCAGUCCAAUCUCCCUUGUUUGUUUCUAGUGCUAGAGGACCCAGAAUCAACUUCAUCUCCUAUACUUUCUCACUACUAGAAAUACGUGUUUUUACGAUGCACUUACGACCUCGGUCCAUUGGCGUCGUCAUAGUAUAUCGAACCGGUGGCAUUUUGGUAAUAUUGUCUUUGAAAACGAAGACGAUUUUUACAAACACCGUCAUCGAAUGACUCGAACAACGACGGGUGAAGGAUAACCAUCGUAGAAAUGAGACUUUAAAGAUGUUUUGUACAUACACUAUUGUGGAAUGUGCGUCGUUUAAUUAAGGUCAUGGACCCUUUCUUUGAUAGAGUCACCCUCGAGUUUUGGGUUACCCUUGUGCGUGCAUGAUAGUGUGCCUUCACUGACCUUGUUGUCUCCCUCACUGACCAGUCAUGAUACAUGUUUUAUGUGUCGCCCCUUGUCGUGCUGGUAGUGUUUCGACGACGAAGUCUGCUGGCCUCGUCAUUGUCUACAUUCGACAUUGAAACUUGGGUUUGUCUUACUCUUUGGUUUUGGAUUCCCAUAGUAAUAAUAAUAAUGAUAGGUUGUGUGAGUUGUUGGCAUAAGCAGAAGAAGUGGUUGGAGAAACAAAUGAUCUGAUCGAGAAUUGAGAUGGGGAUGGAUAUUUGACCUUCUCCUUCUUGUUGCUCACUCUAAUGAAUGCCAACCGCAAUUUAAUUGAUUUCAUUUUACAAAGAAAUAAAGGAACAAAACAAACAAUUUCAAUUUGCAAGCUAGGAUGAAGAGCUCUCUAAAAAAAUUGUGAGGGGUGGCACUUGACAAUCACAAACAUGCAUCCUCCAAGUCCACUCAGCCUCUGGGGUAGAUUGACGAGCUUGCUUGGGCAACCCAGGCAUUUAUUUUUUAUUUCUAUUCUUGCAGGAAAACUUGUCCUCAUGCUUGGCAAAAUCCAGUUCAAACUACACAAACUUGUGUUUCAUCAUGUCACUUCCUAAUUCCUUCUGUCUAUUCUUUCGUCUAUUUUUUUUCUCUGUUUUUCAUCACUCUUUCCUAUCCCCUUUCAGCGUUCUCAUACAUUCCACAAAAUUACCAUUCCCUCAGACUCUGUCUUGAAUGAACUUCAAAUUGUCAAGGUGGCUACCUUAAAACAAUUACUACAAAAGUGAACAAUCGAAGACUAGAAAGGAACAUACACAUUAUUUUUGUCAAUCUACUUAAAUGUUAUUCAGGUGAGAAAAUAUACUAAUGUUGGAGGGAUUUGGGAUACUUUAAACCCUACAGGUUUAGAUUCCUAUAAUUUCUGAAUGGAAACCUAUUUUCAUUCCAUUAAAACAAAAGGUUGAAUCUUGAACAUAAUAAAUUUAAGAUGUGCCAGCUUUGUUUUAUCAUUUAUCUAUUGAAAUUAUGGAUGUCAAAACAUUAAAUCUCAUAAUUGUAGAAACUGAGCUCUCGUUUCCUUUUCUGUCUCAUGCAGCUACUGUGAGACAUGAAAUUUUAGAUGAAACAGACCAUAUAACUAGCAAGACAAAGGCAAUUUUAAACGUUCCAACUCAAGUGAGCAUAUAUUCUCCAAAUGGUAUUUAUUUCCAUUACCCCUUAAUAACAUCACAAGUAAUUAACUUACUUUAAAAUUUUGUAACAUUGUCGUGGGUGUUCCUUUUACCAUAUCCCUCUUUCUUAUUGAACAUUUUAUUGUGGUAAAUAAUGGUAGCAUGUGGGUUGAAGUAAGGAUAAAAUUUGUGUAGUUAAACUAUUCUUCUCUUCUAUAUGGUUUCUUUCCCUUUGAACUAGUGUGCUGGAUUAUUUUUUUUUCUUGUCUAACACAUUAUAAUUUAAGUUGUAAGUUUCAUUUUUGAACUGCUUGCAUUAUGGAUAUUGAACAGUAUUUGUAGCAUCGUCCAUCAAGAGUCAGUCGAACAUGGUGAACACAUGUCGGACUCACUUCAACAUUGUAAAAACAAAUUGGAUACUAUAAAUUUUGUUGUUCCAUAGUGUCACUUGAAUCUAAAUAUUUCACUGCAAGAAUAUUCAGAUUCAAGUUACCUUAUUGGAAAAAUUAACUUGAACUUUUUCUUUUGGUUGCAAAACAAAAUGUUUCUAAUACACACCUCCUAAUUAAGAAUAUGAAACACAAAAUUCUCCUUGACUUACAUGGAACACUUUGAUUUUAGUUGCAUAACAGGUUUACAUGGUUUCAUCUUGCGGUUGUGAACUUAAGCCUCAUAGACCUUCCUAGGUUGACAAAGGUUGUUGUAGGUAAAGUUUCACACAUUUCAUAUUAUUUUAAACAAAAUGGAUGUAAUUUUGAAAGGACUCAUCUAAAUGAUUAAAGAAUAACAAAGUUUGUGCUUCUUUCACAGAGGGACAAUCAAACACCAUUGUUGAAGAUAUUGAGAACAUGGUCCGUUCCUAUGUUGAGAAGGUAAUUGUACUUCUAAUAUAAGAAGAAAAAUCAGAUUUGACUGAAAAUUGUAGUAUUAAACAACUAAACAAGCAUUCUAUAUGACCUUCACUAAAUCAGGGCUAUUGAGGAUGGAAAUUAAGUCCAUAUACUACAAACUCCCUCAAAGAAAGUACCAUGUUCUGGUAACCAAUCAUUAAACUUGAACACUAGAAAUCAUAGAUAAAAACUUAUACUAUUGGUUCCUAAGAAGAAGUGUUUAUUUCAAUCACCUCUUUCAAAGUGGCCAUCACCAUUUACUCAUAAGUUAUAAAUUAUAAUCAACCAUAAAUUCAUUAUUAACCUGUUUACUUAAAACUCGUCGUAAAAUGCCUGUAUUCUACAACUGACUUUUAAGUAGAAGCCGUCGUUGAAUUUACUUCGUGUGGAAGUUGGUUGUUAGGGAACUGUCGUGAAAAGUCAAUAUUUUUUCUGAUACGGCCUUCAAAGAUAGUUGGCAACCAUCAUAGAAGGCCCCAUUCCACCGUCGUAGCUAGAAGCCCCAAUUUCUUCUAGUAGUGUCUCUUUCACUCGUUUUAGUGUGUGUGUUAAAAUUGAGGUGACAAAAUUGAUUUUAAAUAAAAUUAAUUUUAAAUAAUUGGUUAUGAAGUAAUUAGUAACAUGACUUUUAUUUGGAUAACAAAUAUAAAAAAAUGACUUUGAUAGAAGUAGAAAUUAUUUUUAUUUGUUUCAAUUUCAUCAUGAUUUUUUUAUUAAAAUUAAUUCUACUAACAAAAAAUACUAAGCGUCACACCUCAUUAAUUACAUGAAGAUGAAAAUCAUAAUUGUUCAAUGUAGAUUUCACACUAGAUAUUGUUAUAACAAUAACAUGCAGAAAUUGGUUUAGUUGUUUAAAGUGACCAGUUAAACUAGUUGUUUCUUAUACUAAAAUAAUCAACAAAAAUGUUCUUUAACGAAUAACGACUGUGCAAUGCAUGGUUUAUAUAUUGGAUUCAUUGUUGCAUCUCAUGCAACUCAAAGUGAACGACAGGUUCCAUAUAAUAUUUUUGUAUUUGAUAAUAAAAAAAUUUAACUAUUAAAAGAUUCGUUAAUUUUUUUUAUAAUAAAGUAUUACGUACUGCAUGAUAAUGAUGAAAUUAUUUUAUUGCUAAAAUUGAUCAAUAGUUAACAUUAAAUUAAAGCACAGAAAACAAUUUCUCUAACAUCUAAUGUUAAUAUUUGCGCAUAAAUGGACAAAAAAAAGUAAAGUUAUUAAACCAUCAAGUUUAAUAAUUUUUUAAGAGAUAACUUUAUUUAUUAUUAUUCUAGUGAUAACAACGAUAUAUAAACCAUAACAAUAAAGUAUUCAGCAAAAAUAAAUCAUAAUAAUAGAGAAUGAAUUCUCAAGAAGAGUUGUUAAGGAAAGCAAAAUAUAUAUAAGAAAUCAAGAGAGAGAAAAGAAAUAUGUUAAAUGAGGUCUACACCAACUUCAAGCAAAAUGGAAAAGAAAGUAAGAAAAAUCCAACAAUAAUGUCUUAAUGUGCAAAGUCUUAGGAGGAUUGAAGGGAAAAAGGUCGGUGAUAGGGAAUUGAGCUUGGUAGAGUAAAAAAACUAUCUAAGGAAAAUAAAGCUAAGUUAAGUAGGAAUUUGUUCUCCUCUUGAUAUUAUUUCUAUUUCCCCUUUAUAUAGCCUUCUUUACAAGAUAUUUCUCUGAUUUUGUUAUAACAGAAAUUUGAAAUUAGUAUCUAAGCAGGUAUUGAAGAAAAACGUGGGAAAAUGAAAAAUACAACUAGCAGAUUCUAGAAUAAGCCAAGUUAGACUUGCUGCCAUCAAACGAACUCUUUCAGGUAAAUGAGCCUGCUUGUAAUAUGUUUUGGUCUGUUUGUUGUACUGCUAUUUGCCACUUCCAUUUCCUCCUGAUUGGUUUUACUAUCUGCAACUAUGGUAUCAUACUGCAUAUUGCUAUCAACACUCGCGCCUCUGAAAAUAACCUUGUCCUCGAGGUUGUACGUGUCCUUCAAAGCAGGCCAUAUUUCCUAGGAAGCAUCUUUUGGGGGUAAUCAUGUCCACUGAACAAGCACCUUGCAAACAGCAGGAGUAACAGAGGUAUCCCAUUUCCAGUCUAGAAUGGACAAAGGGGUGACGAUGGGAUGGUGAUCUAUUGCUUCCGGAGGAAGAGUAGUCUCAACUGUCGGGAGGGGACCCUGAUGAAGCUUUAGAAGAGAAAUGUGAAACAUGGGGUGAAUACGGGAGGAGGGAGGUAGCAGCAGUUUGUAGGCGACAACUCCAAUACGUUCAAUCACCUGGUAUGGGCCGUAAUACCACUUUGAAAGCUUGGAGUAGUUGGAGGCCAUGGAUGUCUGGCGAUAAGGGCGAAGUCUGACAUAAGCCCAAUCGCCCACGGACAGCUGAAGAUCACGGUGAUGUUUAUUUGCAUUGAGUUUCAUUGUUUCCUGAGCCUUGCGAAGCCGGCACUGGAGGGUGGCGUGAAGUUUAGUACGGUCCGUUAAAAGAGAGUCAACGGCGUCAAUGGUCGAUGUCCCGCGAACAUAAUCGGAGAUAGUAGGUGAUGACUUGCCCUAGAUGACUUCGAAAGGAGUAAAACCUGUGCAUGGAUUGUGGUGUUGUAGGACCAUUCCGCAAUGGACAGAAAUUGAAACCAUUGACUCGGCUUGUGAUGGACGUAAGAAUGAAGGUACUAUUCUAGAGUACGAUUGACAACCUCCAUCUAGCUGUCGGAUUGAGGGUGGUACGCCGUACUCAUUCACAACUUAGUACCGCUAAGCCAAAAGAGUUCUUUCCAGAAGUGGCUGAGAAAAAGUGCAUCCUUGUCGGAGACCAGACUCCGAGGAAAUCCAUGGUGUUUACACACCAUCUCCAUGAACAGAGAAGAAACUUUAUGGGCAGUAUGUUGAGUUGGGAGAACGCCAAAAUGAGCAGCUUUGGAAAAACGGUCAACCACGGCAAGGAUGACAGUGUAUCUGUGGGACGCAGGGAGACCGGUGAUGAAAUCAAUGGAUAAGUCCUCCCAAAUUGCUGACGGGACAGUUAGAGGUUGAAGUAAGCCCGGAGAUUUCUUCGUCUCAUAUUUCGUCUGCUGGCAAGUGAGGCACUGGGACACAAAUCGGCGGACAUCAGAAUGGAUGUUAGGCCAAUCAAAGUUCUGCCGGAGGCGGUGCAAAGUUUUUGCAAUUCCAGUGUGGCCGCCGAGAGGGGUUGAUUGGAACUCCUCCAUAAGCAAGGAGGUGAAAGGAUUAGGAAAAGGCAACCAAAUGUGUUUCUCUCUGAAGAUUAACCCCUUGUGCACAGAAAGGGAAGGGUGUUCAUCUGGGCGGGACUGAAUUUGUAAUACCAGGUCCCGAUAUUGAUUAUCCUCCAUUAAACUAGUGCAAAGCUUAUCAAGGAAACCGAAGUGUGGUAUCGUGAAGGAAAGGUAUUCACCUGUAGGGAGGCGUGACAAUGCAUCUGCCACCACAUUAGAAGAGCCCGGCUUAUAUCGGAUAUCAUAAUCAUAGCCUAGAAGUUUCGUGAGAUAGUUCUGCUGCUCUGGUGCUUGGAUAACAUGCGUCAUGAGAUCUUUCAGACUCUUAUGGUCUGUAAGGAUGGUGAGCGAAGGGCCCAACAGAUAAUGGCGCCACUUGCAGACGACGACAGUAAUAGCAUGAAGCUCUUUAACAUAAGCCAAAGCGCGCUGCAGACGAGGGCAUAAAACUUUGCUGAAACAUGCGAUAGGAUGAUCUUGUUGGAGUAGAACUACUCCUAUGGCUAUCGCAAAGGCAUCCGUUUCGAGGGUAAAUGGGAGAGAAAAAUCAGGUGUGGCAAGGACCGGAGCCUGAGUCAUUAGAGACUUAAGAUGCUCAAAAGCGGUGGUCGCCUUAGGGAACCAAAGAAAUUGGUUUUUUCGAAGAAGGGAGGUGAGAGGAGUUGUUGCUGAUGCGUAACCUUGAAUAAACUUGUGGUAGAAUCCCGUCAAGCCGAGGAAACCACGGAGGAUAGUGGUGGAGGUAGGUAUCGGCCAGUCCAACAUGGCUUGAACCUUAUCAGGAUCAGGAGCAAUGCCCCUGGCAGAGAUUACAUGGCCCAAGUAAUUGAGUUAGGGUUGAGAGAAAACGCACUUGGGUUCCCAGAGAAAGAAUUGGCGCGCCACCAAGGUAGAGAGCACGAAAUCCAAGUGAGACACAUGAGUGUCCAAGUCGGAGCUAUAUACAAGAAUAUUGUCAAAGAAAAUGGCAACACAUUUACGCAAGAAUGGCUGGAGGGCAUCAUUCAUGGCCGCCUGAAAAGUUGACAGAGCAUUACACAUUUGAAUUCAUAAUGGCCUUGAUGCGUCUGAAAAGCUGUUUUAGGGAUGUUUGAUUCGGCCAUGCGGAUUUUGUGGAACCCCUGCUACAAUUCGAGCUUCGAAAACCAUGAAGCUUGCCCAAGGUCGUCUAACAAUUCAUCAAUGGUAGGCAUAGGAAAUCUGUCCUUCAUCGUGAUGGAGUUCAAAGCCCUAUAAUCCAUGCAACAACGCCAUGAACCAUUUUUUUUUCUUAACGAGGAGGAUGGGUGAAGAAAAUGGGCUAUGGCUGGGUUGGAUCAGGCCGGCCGCAAGCAUGGAGGAGAUUUGGGAUUCAAUCUCGGCUUUUUGGAAGUGGGGAUAAUGGUAGGGUCGGACAUUCACAGGAGUGAAAUUGGGAAGAAGGUGAAUAUGGUGCUGAAUAUUGCGGGGCGGAGGUAGGGUGGUUGGGUCAAGGAAGAUGGCGGAGUAACGGUCAAGGAGGGUGGUAAUGGAUGCUGGAAUGGGUUGGGGGUGGGCGGGGCAGCGAAAGGAGGGGGGCAAAUUUCCCUAAUAGGGCUUCUUUUACAAACUAAUUCCGCAAAUGGGGCUAUUUUAAAACAAAUUCCAACAUGGGGUUGUUUUACUACGUAAAACCCAUGCAAAACGCCAACAACAAUGGCGAAAUCUCCUCGUGCAAACACGUGGCAGUGGACUUGCCACUGCAGCUGGCGAGAAAGGCAAAACGCCACUGCUGAUGGUGAGAUAGCCAUGCAACAGUGGUACCGCCAGUCCUAGUGGGGAUUUUGGUGCAACAGUGACACGUGUCGUAUUUUGGUUUUUUGUACCCAAAAUUAAAACAGGUAUGACUUUUGAUAGGAAUGUCUGUUUGAGGCCCAUAAUAUGUCAAAAUGCUCGAAAUUGAAUAAGGAAUCCCCUGGAAAAUUCCUAAAGGGUAUUUGGUCAACUCAUUUUUCCCAAAAUAGGAUUUAAGAUUCAACCAACCGAUUUUUAAUCUUAAAUCCUAUUUUUGAGCUACUUAGAGGCUAUUUUUAAUCUGAAAUACGACACGUGUCACCGUUGCACCAAAAUCGCCACUAGGACUGGCAGUACCACUGCUGCAUGGCUAUCUCGCCAUCAGCAGUGGCGUUUUGCCUUUCUCGCCAGCUGCAGUGGCGAGUCCACUGCCACGUGUUUGCACGAGGAGGUUUCGCCAUUGUUGCUGACAUUUUGCAUGGGUUUUACGUAGUAAAACAGCCCCAUUUGCGGAAUUAGUUUGUAAAAGAAUCCCUAUUAGGGAAAUUUGCCAAGGAGGGGUGGGUUGGGCCAAGGCUGGUGUGAUAUGGAAUAAGGCUGAGAUGUUGUGGUUUUGUGCGAAACGUUUUAACUGAUGUGAUGAGGCAAGUGUGGGUGUGGGGGGUGCAUCAGCAAUUAGGGUAACUGUGUGGCCAAAAUAUGGAAAGUUCAUGGUGAGGGACGUAUAAUCCGUGGUUACCGGGCCUAGAAUCUUCAGCCAUUUCACUCCAACACAAUAUCGACGCCACAGAUGGAAAGGUGAAAGAGGUCUAGGGUNNNNNNNNNNNNNNNNNNNNNNNNNNNNNNNNNNNNNNNNNNNNNNNNNNNNNNNNNNNNNNNNNNNNNNNNNNNNNNNNNNNNNNNNNNNNNNNNNNNNGGGGAGGGAAAGUGUAUUAGAAGGUUUAGGGGAAAAGGUUGAGGGGGUCGUGGGAAAAGGGAAAGGGUUUGGGGAGGAUGUGGGGGCACGGGUUCCUCUGCAGUGGUCCAACAUUUUAUCCCCCUGGAGACGUGCCAGCUCAAUUGCCUGGGGAAGCGAGAUGGGGCGCAACACAUGGACCUCGCGGCGGAGCUCCGGAACUAAGCCGAAAAUGAAGCAUCUAAGCAACAAAGAUGGGGCGAUGCCCAUCGUGCGAUUCGCUAGACGCUCGAACGCUGUGAGGUACUCACUAACAUAACUUGUUUGAUGUAACUUGAGCAAGUUGCCCUGGGGAUCGUCAUAGAAUGAUGGGGCGAAGCGGGACUCGAGAGCCUGCAGCAUCGCCGGCCAAGAAGGAAAGUAAUCAUUGCGGUGCAUCCACUGGUACCAUGAGAGGGUCGGACCAUCCAUAUAGAAGGAUGCAAUGGUAAGGCGCUCGUUCUCUGGGAUCCCUUGGUAAUCAAAGAACUGGGAUAUUUUAAAUAUCCAACCAAUGGGAUCAUGGCCGUCGAACCGUGCCACAUCUAGCUUCAAGUGGUGGUGGCGUGAGACUGGUGGAGGAGGAGGGUGGGGAGGGGGAAGGGGCGAAGAUACAGGGACAGUGAUUGCCGCAAGACGAUCGAAAAGAGACUCGAUCUGAGAGGAAAGGGUUACAUGGAUAGAGUCAAUUUUGGCGUUGAGGGAGUGAUGGCCCUGGGAGAGGGUAGCUUGGCCCUCGGUCAGGGAAGCUUGGCUCUGGGAAAGGUGUUGGAAAGCCUCUUUAAGCUUGUCCAUGGUGACCUGACGAGUAUGAUGUUCAGGCAUGGGAAGGGGGCAGGUCGGACCAGUUGAUAGGGAAUUGAGCUUCGAAGAGUAAAAAAACUAUCUAAGGAAAAUAAAGCUAAGUUAAGUAGGAAUUUGUUCUCCUCUUGAUAUUAUUUAUAUUUCCCCUUUAUAUAGCCUUCUUUACUAGAUAUUUCUCUGAGUUUGUUAUAACAGAAAUUUGAAAUUGGUAUCUAAGCAGGUAUUGAAGAAAAACGUGGGGAAAUGAAAAAUACAACUAGCAGAUUCUAGAAUAAGCCAAGUCAGACUUCCUGCCAUCAAACGAACUCUUUCAGGUAAGUGGGCUUGCUUGUAAUACAUUUUGUUGUGCUGCUAUUUGCCACUUCCAUUUCCUCCUGAUUGGUUUUACUAUUUGCAACUGUGGUAUCAUACUGCAUAUUGCUAUCAGUCGGUCCCAUAUAUAAUAUAAAAACAAAGACCAGCAAAAAGAGUUUCUUGACUUCAAAAAGAAAAGAAGAGAAAGAUUAUAUAUAGAUUUUUAUCAUCAGAUCAGAUCAGUGCGAAUUAAAGAUAAUGUUAGGGUAUAAUAUCACACAUUCUACUCAAUUAAAUCUGAUUCCAUUGAGAUAUAGAGAGGAUUUAUUGAAGAGUACAAAACUAACCAGUUCUUGAAUUAAUUAAGUAUAAACUUUUGGUCAAAUUGCAAAGUAAUUUAUAAUUUAGAAAAUAUUGUAAAAAUAGAAAUUAAAUAAAAAAGAAAAUUUAAAAUUUAAAAUAAAAACAUAUCUACACUCUGUAUAUAUAACAUGCUAGGGCACCUAGUCUAAGCAAAACGAGAAGUAGCAAAAAAAAAAAUCUAACCAGAACGAGCAACCCAGCAAACCUGAACUAUACCUACACUCUGCAUAUAUAUGAAUUUUCUAAGUUAUUUAAAAUAAUGUAUUUUCAUUUUAAAAUAGUAAAGAUAUAGCUAUAAAAAUAUAAAAUUAAAAAAAUAAAUGAUUAAAACAUAAAAAGUUCAAAAGCGUAUAACUGUUGACAAAUAGAAGUGAAUAAAAAUUAAAUGAAGUAAUAAAUUAAAAUAUUUAUUUAAAAAAAAAGCUGAAAGAAAAUUUGCAUUUGGAAGAACUUAAUUUAACUAAUAUAAUAGAUACAUUAUAUUCAUAAACUUUUAUUUUAAAAUCAACAUAUAUAUAUAUAUAUAUAUAUAUAUAUAUAUAUAUAUAUAUAUAUAUAUAUAUAUAUAUAUAUAUAUAUAUAUAUAUAUAUAUUCAUAAACGAUUGAGAUUAAUUAAUCCAUAUAUAUGAGAACCUUACGCGUGUUAAAUGUCAUCUUCAAUCACCUUAUCGAUAUUGUUCAAAAAAUUGGAAUACCUGUGAGGAAGACAAGUAGACACUUUAGAGGUGUCUCUUUCAAACACGUGUUAAAGAAGAAUAUGCAUGCUUUGUAGAACUACCAUGAAUCUGCAAUUUUCUAUAUACAUAUAUAUACCAGCUACUUGCAAGUGUUAAUACUCUCAGCUUGACUAUGUUUGGAAUCUCUUAACAACUUAAUUAUUUUUGUAAUAAUUGUAACGUUUUUUUAUUGUUGAUUUAUUGAUGAUUAUCAUAUUAUGACAUUUUACUUAAUUUUUUGUUGGUCAAAACUAUUCACUAGUACAAAUUCUUUGUAGGAGAUCAUUUUCAAAGACCUUGAUAAUUUGUUUCAGCAGCUUUUAGAAUCAAUUACUAUCAUCACAAAUCAACACAAGAUUUUUUAGCGUGCUUUAUUUUUAUUCAUAUAUUUUUUGGAAAACUUUUCAAAAAGUUACUUAUCCCAUAAUUACUCAAAGCUAAACACACUUAAUUGCAGAAUUCUUAAGUGAUAAUCAACCGAAAAAUAGAUGUAUCAUAUUGUUAUAAGUAGUAUCAAUGAAUUCUUUUAAGUCAUCCUCAAUUUGUAGAGUCUCAUACCUAUACAACCUUUAGACCUUUUUCAUUAUGGUGUGAUUCAUUUAGAGUAUUACAUGUCCACCAGCUUCCGUCUAAUUCGUCAUCGAACCAUACCAUACUAGGAGAUAGGUUUGCUCUGAUACCAUUUGAAACAUCUCUGAUUGUUGAAUUCUCGACGCCUCACACUCCACGAUACUUCAUAUGAUGACACUUAACUUCCUUGUUAGUCAAAAUCCUCAACCGGUCAGAAUUUUCCGUGCAUAGAUUUUUUCAAGACCUUGAAAAUCUAUUUCGAUGACUUCCAAGACUAUCCCCACAAACUAACAUGAUACUUUUCAGCGUAUUUUGCCCUCACUCACUUGUUGUUCGGGAAAACUUUUCAAAAGGUCACCUAUCUCAUAGCUACUUCAAGUCAAACACACUUAAUUAUACAGUUCUUAAUGUGAUACCGAAAAGUAGAAGCAUCUUGUUUGUAUAGAUAAUAUCAAUUAACUCUUUUAAAUCAUCAUCAACUAUAUAGUCUCAUGUUAGAACAAAGGAUGAAAGUUUGAAAAAAAAAAGAAAGGAAAAAAAAAAAAGGUUUCAAGUCCCACAUCGCUCAGGAUAAACACUUGAAUAGUGUUUCACUCCCUAUAUAUAGAGAACUCAUUUCUUCAUUUUUUCUUGUCCCAGACGAGAAGCAUUCCCUCAACUUUUCUUUCUCCCUCCCAUUUUUCAGCCGAUGCAUUUUUGGCAAACUUCUCCCUCUUUCUUUCUAUCGCUCUAUAAUUUUGGUUGAUUAUAAGAGUGACUUUUUAAUUCAUAAUUUCGGUUGACUAUAAAAGUGACUUUUUAAGUCAUAUUUUUGGUUGGCUAUAAGAGUGACUUUUUAAGUCAUAUUUUUGGUUGGUUAUAAGAGUGACUUUUCAAGUCAUAUUUUUCGGGUGGCUUUAGAGUAACUUUUCAAGUCAUACAAGAGAGUGUAAUUCUAGAAAUGUUCUCUCAGUGCAGUGGAAAUCUUAUACAGUAAUCUGGACUGUUUUAUCCUGGGGACUUCGUGGUUGGUAGUCUACUUGCACAAUUUUUGGCAGUGCCACGAAACGUCUUAAAGAAAAUGAUAUUGUCCGCGACUCGACCAGUAAUUUUUUCGGUUUGUCAUAAAUUAUUGUUACAACAUCUCAUACAUACACACAGUCUCUAGAUUUCUCUCUUUCCAUUCGUCGGGAUAUUACAAUAAUAAUCUUCCAUGUGAUGGAUCUUGUAAAAUCCCAUUGAGGGUGAGUAUUUGUUCUAACUCGAAGACAAGUUAAGACUAAAAGAAAAAAAAAUUGAUUCUUAACUUAGAAAUAUUAGACUGAACCGAAACUACUCGUAUUUUUCUUAAAGAGGCUAUGAUUAUUUAUUAAAGGAACAUACAGUUAAAUAUCUCAUUUUAAUAUUUCUAUUAUUAAUAAAUUUUCAUGUCAGACUGAGUAAAUAAUAUGGGUCCAUUUUAUUUUUAUUAUAUAAGCUGGUUUACAUAUAAUUUCACUUAAUAAAAAUUAUUAAAAAAUAUAGAAACCUAACAUUAAUUUAUCUUCAGUCUUUGGAUUGAAUUAGUAAAUUUACUAUGCAUAAACUGUUACCCCUUGCCCUCUGAUCUCACAGUCCAUGUUCAUAAUAACCAAUAAUUUGAUUGCUUUUGAAAAGGUAAUUUGACUUUAUAAUUUGUUGGAAAUUACCAUCAUCAUCCAUCAUGCAUGCAAAACUGCAAGGACGGGACAAUGAUAGAACAUGCUGUUGUGGCCCUCAAUGAGGUUGCAAUUUGGAGAAAUGGGACAAUUUCAUUAGACAAAUAACUAAAAAAUAGAGGUUUAAAAAUGUAAAGAAAACUUCUUAUAUCUGUUUAAGGAGUAACGAAAAAGAAAGAAAAGGAGGGUGAUUGAUUUAGGCGAAAGAGUGAGGACAAGAUCCAAAUCCAAUUAAACGAAGUUUGAUAAUGAUGCAUAUACUGUGGAGUCGGGUGCUGUAUAAGUCGCACUUUAGAGUGUAUUGUAAUGGAAAAAUAUUUAGUUUUAUAUACUCAGAAUUUGUAAUAAGUAAAUAUUUUAAAAUAUAUCAAUUAUAUUAGAAAUUCAUAAUAAAAAAUUCAAUUUGUAACAUAAGAUUAGUUUUAAACUAAAAUAAAUAAACAGUUAAAAAAUUAAGUAUAUAAAUAAAGACGAAAAUAUUUUAAAGAAAUAUUUUUUUUAUCAAUUGCAAAAAGAUAGUGUAUGAAACAUAUAACAAGAAGAGAGUACUAAGAAUAUCAAACUGAGAAGAGGAGAGUGUCACUCCUAAAUUGAGAAUUAUUUCACAUUAUAGCAAGACGGAAACAGUAAAACUACCAUUAAUGGUUUAAGUUUAACACUCUCGUAAAUUGUUAUAAACUUUCUUGUAUCAAAAUUCAAUUCUUACGGAUUAAAAAUAAAAGACUAUCAUUAAUAAUGAUUGGCGGAUAUGGAUCGUUACAUACAAUACAACAAUAGGCAGGCCUAUUAAUUUGAUUAAUGUAGCUACGUAGACAAGGUUCUUUGUCAUUAUAAUUGUACCUAACAGCUUUGCAUGCGUUUUGAAAAUGAAGUGAGGGAGGAACACUUGUAGUAUAUAUUUUUUUGACAGACACUUGUAGUAUCAAGAAGAAGUUUUGACGCAAUAUAAACUUGUUAUUUUUAAUUAAAAAGUUUAAAUGAGAGAGGACGUUUUAUGACUUAAAUAUAUGAUAGCAUUCCUACAAAUUGACUAAUAGAAGCUGUAAACUAAUUUCUUUAGCACAUGUAAAUUUAUAAUUAUGCAAGUUAUGACAAUGAACUUAGAGAUUUGAAGGAAGGGGAACCAAAUCCGUUUGCAUUUAAACCUGCAACUAAACUUUACUCACUGAGUCGUUGCAUGAGUUAAUUAGGUGCUGCCUUUAUUUGUUGGAGUGUGUAAUGGUGUUGUUGUUUUUCUUUUCUUUCCUCUUCUCUACUUUUCUGGAGGUAUUGCUGUGGUGUUUUUGUCAAAGAAUUAGGACGUGGCGAAUGAAUGCACUGAAUAAGUUUAGAAUCUGAUGAUAAUAAACAGAGAAUAAUUAAUAAUUCAUUUAAGAUCCAUUAAAAACAUCAAAACUAAAUUAUCAAUUUAUUUUUGAUUUAUUACAAAAUGAUUAAAAACAAAACCGUGUAGUUGAUCUGUCUCUUGUUUUAUGGAUUGAUAAUGAGUUUAUCUUUCACUUAUUUUGUAUGAUAACAAUCAUGAAUAAUAAAUAUAUUAAGUCAGCCAUUUGCUGAAAAUUAUUUUGGUUUAUUAAAUUAUUUUUAUAAUAAAUAAACCAUGGUGUUUAAAUCAAUGUUACAUAAUUUUCAAAUUUUCUUUAUCAAUUUUUCGUUCUCAAAUAUCAAUGUUUAUAAAUACAAUAAUUAAUUAUUUCACAUGUUUGCGAUUCAAGUUUAUUCAUUAAAAUAUACUAUCUUAUUAAAUAUAUUUCUUAAUAUAAUAUCAAUUAGUUGCCUUAAAAAAAUAUAAUGCCAAGUAAAUUGUAAAUAAAAUCUUUUUAAUCUUUCUAGAUCAUAUUUUCUUUUUCAUUUUUACUCUUAAUUCCUUAAUAUAUAAUUUUUUCCAUUCUCUAUCUUCUUAAUGUUACAAUAUUUAUUUUAAUAAAUUUAUAUUCUUAUUAUUACACUGUUUAUUUUUAUUAUUCCAUUUUUUGGUUAUGGUAAGAAAACAAAUUAUUUAUUAUUACAUUGAUCUUUAAUAAAUAUUUACACUAUUUAUUAUCAUUUUUAAAAAAACUUUCGGCUGCAAAAUAAAAAAUACACAUAAAAAGUCAUAAAUAUAUGUUCUUUAUAUCAUUCUAAAUUUAUUUACUAUACCAUUAUCUAAUUUUACCAAUUUCCAAUUCCAUAAACUUAUUUAACAAUUUUCUUUUAACUAAAUUAAUUUCCAACUUUUAGAUCUUUUACUGUCUAAUUUUAACAAACACAAACAUACUUUCAUACUUUAAAUAACAUAUAAAAAAAUCUAUUAGAAGAGAGAAUAAAGAAGUAUUGGAAUUUGUUUAACAUCGAAAUUAAUUCUUUAACCAUAUUUUUUUUUAUCAUAUGAGUAUACAAAAUAUUUUGUUGGAAAAAUAAAGCUCACUUGGUUGUCGGCUGUGGGUGCACAGCAAAAAUUCAAAAGAUAAUAAAGAAGUGUAGGGAUUGAUUUUGUCAUUUAAAUUUCCUCCUUUCUUAUUCACAAAGUAAUAAAAACCGAAAAAGAAAACCAUACGUCUCAUGUUUGUUCCUUUUUUUUAUUUCCUCUAGCCCUUUGUUAAACUUUGUUUUAGAAUGUCUUACGGAGAAGCCUUUUGAUAUCAAAUUCAUUUUUGUUUUUUUAGCUUGCUAACCAUGCAAGUUCAGUACAGAAUCUAGCAUCUCUUUGCUUUCAGAGUGUCCCCAUACUUCACUCCAGUGGUUAAAUAAAUCUAUCAAGACACCAAAACAAAGUUUCAAAUGAACACAGUAUCCCCCAAGUCACCAAUGAGGUACCUCUUAUAAAAGUACUGUCUAGUAUCUACAAGACAAGAACUGCUAUAUUUUGUUAGCUUGAAGCCAUGUUUAAGUUACGGAGAAAGAGUAACAAGAUUAAAGCUGUAUUCAAACUGCAAUUUCAGGCAACUCAGGUAAAUAUUUAUCCAUUAUAUACUAAAUGACAAAAUGAGGUUUGGCCUAGUAGUUACAAAGUUACAAUUUUAAACAUAUUGCCAGGAAGUUUGAAAUUUAUACAGAAUCACUUAUCACAUUGUAGAUUUUGGUAAGUGAGUUUGAUAACUUAUUGUGGGUAGUUUUAUGCCAAUUUAUUAUAUCAUCAGGUGCCAAAUAUGAAAAAGUCUGUACUGAUGGUAGCUUUGGUGCCGGACGAUGUUGGGAAGCCAACGGUGAAACUAGAGAAAGUUGCUGUCCAGGAUGGAACCUGUUUAUGGGAGAAUCCAAUUUUUGAAUCAGUUAAACUCGCUAAGGACACAAAAUCAGGAAAACUUCAGGAGAAAAUCUACCAUUUUAUUGUUUCAACUGUAAGAAGUAGAUUUAAUUGCAUACUAUCUUUUACCUGUCUAGGAUAUGUUGCUGGAAAGUCUAAUCUCUAUAGGUUCUUGCAGGGAUCUUCAAAAUCUGGCUUUCUUGGAGAAUCCUCGAUUGACUUUGCUGAUUUUGCUGCAGAAACUGAGCCACUGACUGUGUCCCUACCUCUAAAGUUUGCGAAUUCAGGCGCAAUCCUGCAUGUUCGUGCCUUCUAUUCCCCUCCCCAACUAGUUUCUUGUCUCUCUCACAUCAUCACAUGAUUACACAUCUUUAAAAAUAUGGGCUUCAUCAAAGUUUUUUCUUUCAAUUCAUAUUCCAUAUUAUUUAAUAUCAUCAGAUUACAAACACCAAAUAUAAUUCCUCACAUAACAUAUGUUGAGACAGGUGACAAUUCAGAAUGUGGAAGGGGUUCAUGCAGAUCAAAGGUGAAAAAGAACCAUGCAGCCAGUUAAUUUAAUCUCUACAAAUUUCCUUUUGUUUCUUGAUUUUACUUCUCUCCUUUUUACUUACCUGUUGCAGUAGUUUCAGAAAUGGGGAAGAUAAUGGAAAUGGAAGCUCAAGACACCUACUUAGCAUUUGCAGUGCAGAUGAAGGUUCACAUAAUGUUGAUAAAGUAAGGUUUCACAUGAUACAGUGGCUUUAUACAGCUAGCAAUUUCUAUUGCACAGAGUUGAAAUUUUCCUUAACAGAACCUUCUUAUGAGGAUAAAUUAAGAAAAUAAAUAAUCUAUUUUAUGAAAUUUCAGUAACUAUUAAUAUUUUAAAGGAUGAGAACCUGAUCAAGACCAGCAUCUAAUGGCGUCACUUCUGUGGCAACUUCAUGCAGGAUUUUCCCCAGCUAUUACCACCCUUGAGACAAAAUUCAAUGCCAUCAAGAGGAACUAUUGAGGCCAUUGCAACAAGAGCUCAAAUGCAUAGGAGGUCAAUGGGUUCAGUAUCAGAUAGGAGUUUAGGUGACUACUGGAGAAAAAGCCUGGAAGAUACUCUUCCUCAAGAAAGAUUACAAGAGCCUCCAGAUAAUGUCACUGAGAACCUCAAAAGUGAAAUUGCUUCUCUAAAGACGAAAGUGGAAGAAUCAGAACUAGAGUUACAAUCGCUUCAGAAGCUGAUGGAAAAGGAAUGCAGUCGAGGACAAAGUAUGUCCAGACAAAUAAUCAGCCUUAGAGAUGAGAGAAAUACAAUCAAAACUAAAUAUGAGCAACUCAUAUCCCAGAAAAACCUCAACAAUGUGACCAAAUCUUCAAAAGCCUUGCAGACUGAGAUUGCAGAUGCUAGGCAGCAGUUAGAAGCAACAAAGGAAGAGCUUGUUUAUGAAAGAGAGUUUAGUUCUAAUCUUCAAUUGCAACUCCAAAAGACACAAAACUCAAACUCUGAGCUGCUUUUGGCAGUGAGAGAACUUGAAGCAAUGCUAGAACAAAAGAAUAAGGAAUUGUUGGAAAAUACUAAAGAGCAUGAUUAUGCCACAGAAUUAGGUCUCUUGAAGCAGAAAACUGCAGACCAGAAUGGUGAGAUAGACAAUUGUUAUAAGCAACGUGAAGAGCUAAAUGAACAUAUAAAAGAGCUCCACUUUGAAUGUGAGCUUCUGAAGAAAGAAAACCUGGGUAUCUCUUUGAGAUUAAGACAUGGAGAAGCACAAAAAAUUGUUUGGCAAAAUAAACAUUCAGCUUCUUUGGCAACUAUAGAACAACUUGAAUCACAAGUACAGAGAUUAGAAGAAAAGAUAAAGAAUCAGGCAGAUGAUUUUUCAGAGACUUUGAUUUACAUCAAUGAACUUGAAAAUCAAGUCAGUGACUUGGAGAGAGAACUGACAACUCAAGCAGAAAAAUUCGAAAAAGAUUUACAUGCCAUGCAAUGUGCAAAAAAUGAGCAGGAAGAAAGGGCCACCCAAGCAGAGGAAACAUUGAUAAAAACAAGACACAGCAAUGAUCUCACAUGUCAGUGUUUUCAGAAAGUAGAAGAAAAUGAAAAGAAGACCAUGGAUGCUUAUGCAGAAGCUGAUGAAUUGCGGAAACAGAACAAACUAAUGGAAGAAAUGCUCCAGAAAUGCAAUCAAGAGCUCAGGCUUAUUACAAAUCACAAUGAAUCAAAACUGCAACAGCUCUUGAACCAAAUAGAUUCAAAACAGAAGGCAAUAGAAAUGAUGUCACAAGAACUAGAGAUUAAGUCCAAACAACUUGAAGAUGUACAAAGGCAUAGGGAUGAACAGUAUGAUGCAUUAUUGAAGCAAAUUCAAUUGCUCAGAAUUGAAAUUACAAAGCUGGUGGCAGAGGAGCAUGCAUUAUCUAAAACUGAGCCAAAAGAGCACAUAUCUACGAUGUUAAUGCAAGAGAACAAUGAUGAGGAGAUAAGGCUUGGCACCCUAAUGUCAGAAGUAGAAAUCCUUAAGACCCAGCACAAUGAAUUAAAACAUAGAUUGCACAUGGAACAAGCAGAGAAAGAAAAUAUGAAGAAAAAAAUAUCUCAAUUAGAAGGAGAGCUGAAUAAGAAGGAAGAAGAUCUAAGUGCUGUAGAAAGGAGGCUCGAGAAUAGCAAUGGACAAGCAACAGCCACAAAUAUUAAUUUGGCUUCAUGGCACUACGACAGUGCUGCAUAUUGUUCUUCCACUAAUGAAUACAAUAGGAUUUCAAAAUCAGAAAUGCACAAGGUAAUUUUCCAGCUCCUUUGCUUUGAAUCAAAAUUAAGAAUGUUACUAUCUCUGUUGCAUAUUAGGUCAGGUUGCAUGUUAUCACCACAACCACCCCCUUAUGAGUACACUACACAGUGAAGUGAAAUGAAUAAUCAAGUUAGCACCCAAGCAGAUUGGCAAAAUUAUCUGAAAUGAUAUAAUAAUUAGAGUUGGAAAAAUGAAAGAGUAGGGAUCAUUAGUAUUUUUCUCUUUUUUGUACUGUGAACACAAUUUGUCCCCUGCUUAAGUAGGUGACAAAAUUUCAGGGUUCUGUGUUGUGUCUUGAGCUGUCUUUUCUAAAACUAUUUUGAAAAUCAAACGAAGUACAAUUUUUUAUGGUGCCAUCCUAUCGCUUAUAUUAUAGCAAACCAAUGAAUCUUAAAACUUAAAACUCUUCUAAAAGAAAUAUGCAAUUAGCCAAUGCACUUCUCGCUCAAUUGGCACCAGCCUUGGUCUUUAAGACUUGAAUAUGAUGUUAAUGUCAGAGGUUUGGUCCUCUACAAAGUUAUAUUUCCUUUCUCUUGCCCAUGUGCUUGAACCAAAUAUGUAACCUAAAAAAGACGAAAGAGAGACAAUAUCUAAUUAAAGUUUCUUUGGUUUUGAUUUGCACGCAUUAGUUGAUGACUCGAUGAUAUACAUUAACUUACAAUGUUGCGAUAUUGGUAACAUAAAAAGGAAAUGGAUGAUGCAAACACCCCUGUUGACAAGUCUGAAAUAGGAAGAACGAUAUGCAUUUCAGCUGAGAACAAAGUUUAUCUAGCAUCACACACAAGGUAAAAAUCAAAUUCCUUUUCUCCCAUCUGAGUCUGUAGUUCCCUUGAACACAACCCAUUAGUUUUCUUAUCAUCAAUUAAAUUGUAAUAAAAUAUUGGUGCUUCAGGCUCAGAUAUAGUGCACCACUCAUGACUCAUCUCAUCUAGGAUGUUAUUUUUAUUAAAUUUUAUCUCCUCAUUACACUGACAGUGAAGUGAAAACUUGCUUGGAAAAUGAGGUUAUCGUCUUCAAUAAUGAUAAUGCUGGCGAGUUUCAUACAAAUAAAUUGUUGAAUGAAGUGGAAGUACUUAAGGAAAUGAAUAGAUAUAUGGGAACUCAGCUGAAAGAAAUGGAAGAAAGAUAUUCAGAGAUUAGUCUUAAGUUCGCAGAGGUAGAGGGAGAAAGACAACAGCUUGUUAUGGCUCUACGUAAUUUCAGGAAUGGUAAGAACUAGAAUUCUUUACAGGCGUUAUUGCUCACAUACAAAAUACACAUGGGUUAUGAAGCAGACAGGAUAUCAUGGUCAUAUUGGUCGAAUUCAGAUCAAGCCAGUGUUUUUCACUUCAGUCGAAUCUACAUUUCACCUCCUCCAAUUUAAAUUUGCUGGGCUGCUUAGUUCAAUAUUUCUGGUCGAAUGAUGCGUUGAAUUGACAAGGUAGCUAUCGGUUGUGGCCUCAGAUAGGUUAUGUAGAAAAUGGAUUAUAAUUUAUCAUCUAUUUGAACGAUUUUGGGGUACAUAUAUUGCAAACAUUAUAGCCGAUAAAUAAGGCCUAUGAUGCUCAGAUGAAAUACAUUUUUAUUGAAAAUAUGAAAGAACAAAGAACAACAAGGCUACUUAAUUUUGAAAACCUAUCAUCUAGAUGUGGUAAUUGUGCUUUUCAAAAGCUGUUGGCUAAUUUUAGAUGCAUCAAUUUUAAAUUUUGAAAUAAUUAAAAAGGGCUACUUGUUUUGUUUUUCAUACAAAUAAAAGUAGUUUGGCUCUUGAUUAAAAAAACAAACUUUACAUUGUUGGAAAAAAAAUUGGGUGUAUGUAACUAAUAUUAACAUUUCUAAGCAUCAUUUUGGGAAUAGCAAAAAUUAAUGAAUAUCUUAUAAUUUUGCUCAAAAUAAAAAUAGAAGUGCCAACAAAUUUUUUGUUAAAUUUUGUAUCAAAUAUGAAUGUUUUUCUUCUUCAGAUACGAGUAAGAUAGCGGGUAAUACUUCGCACUACAAAUAUGGUGGAAAAAAACACUAUAAAUGCUAUCCUAAACAGGUUCUUAGAUCGUAAAUCAAUCAUCAUGUGAAAUCUCCAUUCGCUCCAAACAUAGAUUAUCCAGCACGGUAUCUAACUUCCUGUACUGAUCUCGAACUCCAUUUUCAUUAGUGGAAACCAUUGACUUCAACUUUCAUCAAUAUUAGAAGUCAGUCUCUACCAUAGUCCGUUGAACUCAUUCUAAAUGGUAUAGAAGUAUAGAUGAUAUAUACCAAGUCCAGAAAGGAACUGAAUUAGAAGUUUCUUAGUAUGAGGAAAUUAACCUGACAAAUGAAACCUAAAUUGUCAGAGAAUUACUCUCUAAUUAUGGUUUUAAAGCAAAAUACCUCUCAAAAGGUUAAAGCCACCGUCGUAUAUAAUAUAAAAUCUCCAUUCUUUUCUUCAAUGAUGGAUUAUUGUGCCUGGCAUAAGUCUUUUUUGUCACUCCAAACUAGUCUUGUUUGGCCUCCACUUCCGUACCUCCCAAAGGUCAGUGUCUGCCAACGACCGAAUGUUCGUGAAUAAUAGGAUAGAGGCAAAGUUGUAUCCACGUUAACUAAAUCUAGAAAGGACACGAAGUUGAAUUGGUUUGCAAGUCAAAUAUCACAAUUAAUUAUUACUAUAAUUUAUCAUUUUUAUAAAAAUAUUUAAAUAUUUAAAAUCAAUAUAUUUUAGCUCUAAUUAUAUAUUAUAAAUAAAAUAAAAGAGUACGAGUUAACCUAAAUAAUUUUAACAAGAGUUAACCUAAAUAAUAAAUAGUUAACAUCCCACAAAAUUAGGCUGGAUAUAUUAUAGUAUGCAUAAACUAGCUUGAAAUUAAUCAGAGAUGACUAAUAUAAUAGUAACUAUCAUUGAAAACUCUCUCAAGUCCCUACUAUAAGAAUAAGAUAAGACACAUUUAAUACACUCAAUGACGUGUCGUUGGACAAUAUGACCCAUUAGAUGAGUAUAGAUCUAUCUAACGGUUUGUAUUUUGUCACGUUGUUCACCGCACUACGGUGAGUAUCCACGGAGACUAUCCCUCCUAAAAACUUUCCACCUACGUAUUACACCUUUUAUGCAUUCAUUCACAUUUCACAAAUUGGGAGCAACCGAGCAAGAUAAAACAAAAAACAGAAUAAAUUCUAGACACCUUCUAUCCCCUUUCUAACUGCCACUUUUGGCCAUAUUGCUUAUUGCAGUUAAAAAAUUGAAAAAAGAUAUAUAAUUUGAUUAAAAUCAUUUGACUAGCCUUUUGCACCACUUAUUUUCACUUCAAAACCAUCAUAGUAUAAACGUACCUUCGUUGAUUUCUUAUCACAAGGAGUACAUGAUGAAGUGGAAUCUCUUGCUUUCUUGACCGAGUUUGAAGAUGGUCCCGAUCGCUUCUGUCUCUUCUGUUUCGGAACAUUUCCAGAUGUUCUAUUAGGUUGGUUCUUAAACAAAUCAAUUACGGAAGGACUUCUUCGCUUAGAAGUUUUGGACAUGCUCCCGGGGUACCCAAAAUAAGGGCCAGAGUUCUCACUUGAUAAUGAUUUUUGACGCAAUCUGCUCUUUUCUUUUACUUUAUUAAUAAACUCAAUCGUCCAAGGUGAAUUCUUUAAUAUACUAGCAGACUGGCGGGCAUAUGAGAAUGGAGUUUCUCCCAAAUGUGACAGUUCCUCCUUGAAUGGUGAUUCUUCUAAGUUUCUCAUCGAUGCCUGAGUAAAGCCAAUGUUUUCACGGGGCUUGAAAUCAAGAGGAAAUAUAUCUUCUCGAAAAUCUGGUUCAGGGUAGUUGUCAACUUCUCCCCGUUUGUCUUUUAAGGAUCUCCAUAUUUUUGAUGAGUUGGUUUCUGGGUGACUACUAUUAUCAAAUGACAAUUUCCUUGCAAUUUUAUUCGUUCUCAUCAGAUCUUUCUCUUUCUCUGCCAUCAAACUUGUGAAAUACAUGGAAUCAGGAAUGGCAAAGCGUUUAUCAAAUAAGGGGCUAUCAGUCAAGUCCACCACCUCACCUCUAAUGUCUUCAUGCAGCUUCUUUGAAUUACUAAAGUUAUGCCAAUUCACACCUUUGCCCAUCAAAGCAGUACCCAGUAUUUCAUUUUGAGCCAACUCUUUAUUUUUCAAGGAUAAACUGGGUUGUUUCAGUUGCUCUGAUUUGUUGGGAGCUUUGCAGUUCCCUGCUGAAUAAGAGACUCCAGAAAGGUUUCUCAUUGUAGCUGCACCGGUGCUUUGCUUUUGACCGAAAAACUCACUCAUGGACAAACUUGCGUUUGCUAAGUCACUGGAUCUUCCAGCAUUUUUUGACAUAACAAAAUCAAAAGGUUUUGGCAAGGUAGAGGAAUCCGGCGCAGCCUCAACUACUUGAUUUAAUGUCUCAAAUUGCAACAAUUCAUCCAAACAUAGUUCAUCUAUCUGAUGACUACUUAUAGGAUUUUUCCUUUUUCUUUCAUUUUCAACUUGAUAUAAACAACACCAAUCUGAGUCCAGACCAGAAGAUACUGAAGAGGAGCAAUCUGUCAUUAUGGAUUUUGAGUCCUCCCGUUCCCCAUAUCUGCAGAAAACACUGAAUAGAGAAAUACUUUCGUCUGGGACAUGAUACUUUUCUAAAACAUGCAUCCUUUGCUCAUGUGACCACACAAGAAACUCAUUAAGCUUGACCCCUGAAGAUAGUAUAGAGUGUGCAGUUAAAGGAUUUAUUCCAGGAAAUUCUGUAAGAAAUGACUCGGCAAGAGUCACUGAGUCAGGCAUUUUAGGAUACAGACCCCUAUUCAUAUUGUUAGCACUCUUAAUGCAGCUUACAAUAACUUCAUUUGUCAACUCAGGUGAGUAAGAGAAGAAUAUCUGCAAAUCAAUUCCUAGGCUUGUUGCUGCAGCAUAAAGUCCAUCUGAGGAUUCCAUUACAGUUGAAAGAAAGUUAAGCUCUCCUUCAAACACCUGGAAAGAGAAUAUAACAUAUUUGAACCAGCUCAAUGUAUAGGUAACUAACAUCAACCAUCGCAACAACUAUCAUAUCUUAAUCAUAUUUACAUUUAUUAUGAUGCUUUUAUUCCCUCAUAUCUCAAUAUAAUAAGAUUCAGAAAACUAAUUUUAUCUGCUACCUUGUCCUAAGAGCUAAUAUCUUCCAAGCAAGUAAUACAAAAUGAUGACAACGAUGAUUAAAAUUCCUUAAUUCCCCUUUCUGCAGGGGUUUAUAUAAGAAAGUCUUCCAAAGGGUCUAAAGGAAAUUUCAAAAAUAGAAAAGCUGAAGCCAAGUUCGGAGAUUGACAUUCUUUUCCCUCAAAAGGCUUCUCAAAUCUCAAAUUACUCCUAAAAAAACCAACUGGUCAAUGUCAAGUACUUUCAUAAUUUUUCUAGAGCACUACUCGACAUUGCAGUACUUUAUAGAAACAGUUAUAUGAAAUAAAUAAAUAUCACACAAAUGUAAUUAAUAUAGAAAUUGAGAUUACCAGAAAGCAACCACGGAAGUAAAAACUAAGCAAUGUCAGAACAUCUGUGGCAAUAUUCUCAAUACAUAAAGGCAAGCUUGAGGACGCUUCAGUCGCUGGAGUUGAUUUCUUCCCGAGGUUUCUACUAUCAUACCAUGCCAAGCAAAUAGCAGAACUUAAUAUAAUAUCCACAGGCAAAUCUAAAUCACGUUCAACAACUUGAAUUCCUUCUUUCUCCAUAGCAAGAAUUACCAGGUAAGAGCUUCUUCUAGACAUUAUCAUUUCCUUAUCUACAUUUUGAGUAUUUACGAUCAUAACUGUUCCAGGAAAAACUUCCAUGCUUUUAUGGCCAUGCUCAGUUUUCACAGCAGGAACUAGCGGCAUGUGAUUAUCUGCUUCAGGUGCAACCUUGGAAGAUUUUUUAUCAUAGCUUUGCUCCACAGGACAAAAGUUCAGUAGUCUCUCCAAGUUCUGGUUCAUCAUACUUACCUUAUGAUUGAAAAUAAGAUGAGUCUCACUUCCCUGGAAGACAAUCAUUGUUAGUUACAUGAGUGAGUUCAUAAUAUGUUUACAGAUUGAUUGGUAGACGAUGUAUGAACUAUGAAUUAAGAGUAAAAAUCAAUUGGUGCAGCUAAGUCAGUAAUUCCAUUUAAAAUAGGCGACAAAUGAAAGCAUUUUAUUUCAAGACCAGUAUCACAAAAGUUGCAAUUUCGUUUACUAUAAUCACAAAUUUGAAGUUGCAGUCAUUUCCCUGUGGAAUAAACUUGUAGUUUUGCUAAACAUAUAAGAAUUAGAAGAAGCUCAAUACUGCUUUUGGUUCAUAAUUUCCAGGUUAAGCCAUUAACCCACCACUCCCAUUCAAAUUAAAAUUGUUUCCCAUUUCUGUAUCUGUCCAAAUAUAGUAUUCCUACUCAAGCCUUCUUUUUGGUCUAUUUUACACUGGCACACAUGCAGAGAUACAGAAACAAGAACAUGUCACAAGUAUGAUACUGAUACAGGCCAGUCCCCCAAAUUGUGAAUAAGUAAUACACCAAAUUAGUUUAUUAAAUUACAAAUAUUGGUCAAUUGAGUUCCUGAAAUCACAAAGUCUUCAAAAUUACCAACAACAAUCAUUUAAGAAUUUAGUCGCUGAUGUUAUCUAACAAUGGUCAUUUUAGUUCUUGACAUUACAAAAGUAAGGACUAAAAUGACUGACAUUUGGUAAUUUCAGGAAUUAAAAUGAUACUUUUGUAAUUUUAAGGAUUAAAUUAACUAGUUUUCGUAAUUUUAGAAUUUUGGGCUAAUUAUUUCUGUCAUUUUUUUUAUCCUUUUGCUCUUAAUGUCUUCUACUUUGUAAGGUACCACAAAAAUCCACUUUGAGGAGAAUCCUGAGUGGGGGACACUGGGGAGUGUAUGAUGACCAUAAGAGGUCAAUGAAAGAGCUACAAUUUGAAAACACAAUAUAGUUGUGUUUGAGCAUUUCCUUCAAUGGAGUAAUGAUUUAUCUUAGCUCCUGUUGCAAUCAAAACCUCAAAACAUGUUAAUGUGUUGUGUUUUCUCAUAGACUGAGACUGUUAGUUCCUGCUUCUCUGUAACAGUUCCAGACAUUUUUUUUCCUCAUAAAUGAAGUAGCUCUGUUAGAGAGAAAACACUUCCCUAGGUAGAUUUUAUUGGUAUAGCAGAUUUGAAAUCUAAUUUUGGAAAUUUUGUUUGCGGUUUAUCUUAGUAUCAUAAAACCCAAUUCGUGUAUGCCUGUACGUAUUUACAUCCUUACAUGAGGUAUUUUAAAUUAUACUAUAACAGUUGAACUUGUGCAGAUAAAAAUAUAUGGAAUAACGAACUCAGACAAAUAAUUUCUGAAUUUAUUUUCAUUAGCAUAUAGUAUCUAUAACAUAGAUUCUAUAUAUAUUAUCCAUAAUCAUAGAGGCUUACCAUUGACAUUUCAAUGUUUGGGAGCAUUUCAACACCUUCGCAGAGUGCUUUGAGAGCAGCAUGGCCAUCCAAUUCAACCCUCAAAAAGUGAAGAUGAGGCAAUCCAACCAAGUUUUGUGAAAGCUUAGAUAUCCUAGAUGAGUCAUAUGAACCUCCAUAUUCCAAGAUAAUGUCAAAUUUGUUCAAUGGAAACAAGGGAGAAACAUGCCUUCAAUCAAAUAGAAGUUAACUUAGUUUUGUAGCAGAAAAAGUAUGGUAAAAAAAUGGCUCCAAAAAAUUUAUGGUCUGCUUUGAUGCUCACGAUGUAUGAUUAGAACAACUAAUUUGAGGAAAUUGAAAGGAAUUUGGUUUCAUUAAAAUAAUGUAAGUAUUGUUCUCAUGUGCUCACCAUUUUGGAUUCUUGUUGCUCCAUACCCAAUAUACAAAAAGAAAAUCCAUGGGUCUAGAAUUGGCAAUUUGAAAACAUGCUAAACAUAUCUUGUACAAAAAAUAAAGUGAAAUUCGAUGUAUGCAAUACAAAUAAAAAUAUCGUCAAACAAAAGCUUACUUGUGUGAAACCAACAAGCAGUCUGAAAUCAGAAGUUCUUUCAUUUUAGUAUCUGUGUCCUCAGACACAGUAUUGGCACAUGGCUGAUUUCUACAAGAAUCAUUUAGUGCAAUGAAUGAUAACCCCAGGGAAAGGAGGAGAUUUUUCAAUGAAUACCAAAAUACUUCUUCCGCCACAAUCAAAGUUUUCAAACUAUUCUGUUUGAUGUAUGAUUGUAAAAUCUCCUUGACAAUUGUUAAUGACGGGUGUGCCAUAGUAACAUUGUUGUCCACCUUCCCCUUUUCAUCUUUGAUCAAAGAUUGGAGGAAGCCUAACUUUGAUUUCAAAUACUCCAAGUUUUGACAUAAUUUGUCUAAAUAAAAGAAUGCUGGAUGGAGACCAUAGAAACACAAGUACCAAGCAGCCUGUUUAAUAGCACAUAACACGACAAAUGCCAUUUGGUUUCCAUUUAUAUGGUAUUCAAUCAGCUUGUGCUUUUGAAGACCCAACAAUUUUAAAUAAUCUGCAUCCGAGUUAUGCAUUUUUGUCAUCUCUGUAUCACUGUGCAAAAUGGCUAGAUAGCUUUUUUCAAAAUAUCCAGCAAGGGUCACAAUAUUAUUGGACAACUUAACUCUAUGCAGAACAGUAUGGAAUCCUUGUGACUGUGUACCAACCUUCGAUUCAUUGGAUGAAACUUUUGGAAUACUAACAUUAACAUUACUGGACUCUACUGUAUAAUUACAAUUCCCCUUAUCAGUCGCUUUUUGAGGGUUUAAGAAAUAAUCAAGAUUGCUGAUUUCUGACAUAGAUUUAAAUAACAAUGAAGCCCUCUCCUUUCUUUCAGGUAAUUGUUCUUGACUUUCUUGUUUAGAAGAUACAUGUUCUAAAAUUUUUCCUGAAGCAACUUCUACAGGAUGAUUAUCAAGUAGAGGCAUGCAAUCAGAAAGCAACUUCUUCAACUCUUCAUUUUGUUUAAUGUCACAUUCAUCUAUGGUAUCAUCACAGAAAACUAGAUCAAAUACCAAUUUUCCAUCAUCAAAAGAUGUUCCUCCAAAAUCUUGGUUGUUCAGAUCUAUCUUGGCCAAUAUGUUCUGAUACCAGUUAGAGAUUUUGCAAUUGCACUUAUCUUCUUCAAGUAGAUCCCAGUUUAAGUAAAUCCCAUCAGAGGCAGAGAGAGGUCGGGUCUUCAAGCUGGAAAAUUGUUCUACGAUGAUGUCAUGUAGAGUUAUCAUCUUUAUGUGAUCAUAGAUAACAGGUACAGGCAGUGAUUUGAACGUGUCAUCUGUUAGUGCUAUCUCAUUACUAACAAUCAAUUCAUCAAAACUCUUGAAGUUAAACUCUUUCUUAAACAUCCACUCGUAUGUUACUAGAUCAUCUGAAGCUUUUGUGUCAUAGAAAGCUUCAAAGGUUUGCAUUAAGUCUUUGUCAAGGAACGCAAACUCUUGGAAGGUAACAAGAUUCAGUAUCAAAUCACUGUUAGCAUGCCAUGUCCUUUGCAGGCCAAUAUUCCUAUCAACAAGUUCAGUUUCCAGCAAAUUCAUAAAAUCCCUUUCAGGAAACAGAUCAGAUAACUCCAGACUCUUCUUUGAUACACACUCAUCUGAGAAAAACUCCAUCAUGUUAUGCUUCAUAGAACCCAAAAGCUCCUUGCCCUCUAUUACAGAUUGAUAUAGUUCAUCAAAAUUUUGAGAUCUGAUAUUUUCAAAAUAUGAGUCAACAAUUUCUACCAAAGAGAAGCGCGUGGGAAUUCCCAAAGUUUCCUCAUCCACUUCCAAAAUAAGGAAUUUGUUUUUAUCAGAGUGUGGCUGGUGAUGAACAGAAAUAUUAUCUUCUAGAGAAUAUGCAUUUCCCCCCAUCAAGUACUCUGAAAUUACAUCUUCUACCAAAGAUACUGAUUCCAGAGCCUCAUACGGGUAUUGCCUUGAUGGUUCAGGCUUGAGCAUGUCCUGCAAGGAAAAUAGAAUAACUUAUUCUCUCUGAAGUUUGGAAACAAACAAAUGAAUGGAAAAUAAAUAAUAAAAAAUUGAAAUUUUUCCUUGUGUCCUAUUACUAUUACUAUUACUGUAUGACCUAUGUAAGUCCAAUUCCACUCUUAUUUGAUGGUUCAUAUUGAAUGAUGCAAAAAGUUAUCAACAUUCCAAGGAUAAUACAGAAACAAAAUCCAUUCAGCUCCUCCAUAUUUCAAGUUCAAUAGCAAAAACUGCAUUAAUAUAUUUUAUACUUAGAGAACACAUAAUCAAAGCUUACAACAAGAGAGUAAUGUAACUAUUCCACCAUCCAACUAUCAGACUCAUUUACUGAAACAGUACAUAGUUCAUAUGAGUGUCUAUAAAAUAUAACAUCGUUACCAGGCUAUUUUCAACUUCUGAAGUUUGAGACAGCAUUUGCAUCCUCUCCGUCUCAGUGACAUAAACAUUUUCCUUUAAAAUACAGAGAAAUAAAAUAUAAAAAAAACGAAGGUAAAGAUUGAUUCGAUUGAAUGAAUUUUCUUAAAACACAGAAGGUUAUAUUAUAUAACUACAAAAUUAGAAAGAAGAAUCUCACCAAGAACGCGUCAAGCUCUGGUGUUUCGAAUUGAAUCGCCUCAUAAACAUCAUCGUUCUUAUCAUUGAGAGCAAUAGUUUUACUCUCCUGCGAAUAAUAACGAUAAGAUCUUAUCUAAAUAAAUAAUUAAAUAAACAAAAAAAUGCAGCAAACAAGGAGCAUUAAAUAAUUUAAUUGAUAAAUAUACAUUCGAAAAUUUGAUAUCAACUUCGGAGACACAUUCUUCGAAGAUAACCUCCGCCUCUUGCUGCAGCGCAAUCAAAACAUCCAAAAAACACGAGCACACUCAGGAAGCUUCAUACGAAAGUAAACAUUGCCCAUAGAAUCACAAUUUCACAGUGAAAUUCUAACAGCGACGAUAAUCAACACCGGCAAAAACAAACGCAACACGUUGCAAUUUCGAGACUCCACUCUUACCGCGAGCUAACGCAAUUGCUCAUAGAAUCACACUUUCAUAGUGAAAUUUUAACAGCGACGAUAAUCAACACGAGCAGGUUAGACAAACGCAAGCUCAAAAUUCACGUUGCGAUUUCGAGUCUUGAGGCUUACCGGGGGAUUCGACGGAGCUGUGUGGAUUCGGUGAGGUAGGACGGCGGAGAGGAAGGUGGAGAGCACGGCGUCAACGGGGAAGGGGUCGAGGUGGAGGGAGAGGGGGAUCGGAGGACCAAAGCGGAGGUGGUGGUAGACGGCGUAUGGCGGCGGCGGAAGGAGGCGAGGGACGGGGAGGUGGAGGAAGGGGAAGGUUUGAGGUGGAGGGAGAGCGAAGUAGUCAUUGUUGAGAAAGCGAGUUCGCAUUUUUCUGAUGAAGGUGCUACUAACGGACUCCGAAAUUGAUUUGAAUUUGGCGCUAUAAGUUUGGUAUUUAUAGCGCGUGAGAUUUGGAUUCGCUUAGAUGACCCUAAUUUUGGAUCCGGUUCCAAAUUCCAAUUCUUUGUUUUUUUAUUACUUAUUUUUUUUAUUUUAUACACUCUUUUUGUGUUUUUUUUUGGAUUUAUCUAUUUUUUUAGAUGAAGGAUUUUCGUUAAUUGUCUUCUCAUGAAGUUGUUAAUUUACUUCUUUUUUGGUUGACAAAAGGAGUAAUGCCCAAAGAUGAAGUUGUUUAAUUAUUACUAAUUUUUAUGUGGGAAAAAAUUGGUUGAUGUGCAUUAAAUCAAAUUAUUAUGAAAACCAAAUUCGUUGUAAAAUUCAGUGCUGAAUACUUUUUUAUUUGAUUUUUUUUUCUAAAUUCUACCGUAUAUUUUAAGUGGGGGAAAAAGCAAGUCGUGAAGCUUUAAAAGAAAUGAGUAAGAGCACAAGAAAUUGUUGAAUUGGAAUUUUCGUUUUCUUUAAUUCUUACCUGCGAUUUUGAUCCUUUUUAAUCUCCCGCAAUCCUUUUUGCCAAAGAAGUUCGGUUCUGUUUUUAUCAAUUUGGUUCGGUUUGAUUGUUUUUUUUACACUCCUGGAGGACAAUUAAUAUCCACAUCUCUCAAAGGAAUAUAAUAAACUCUUAAUUCUUUUGUUUGAUAAAUAAUAUUUUUUAAUGUAUCUAAAGACUUGUAUUUGAUGUUUCACAUGCUUCAUGCCCAAGGUUGGCCAAUAUCAUUCGAGUCAUCUCAGUGAAUUGAAGAAAAUAAAUAAGGAAAUAACUUGAACUUUCCUUGGCUUCUAUAAACCCAAAUAGUCCACACAUUUCCAUGCUGGGUGAAAAUGACAGUUUCGGUGAGUUUCUGCCAUUUGGAUUAGUCAGCGUCCUUCUAAAUAUAGCAUUGUAUUGAGUAUUUGACAGAUAGUAGCAACACUAAUUUAUCUAUUAUCCAUUUCUCCUUUUUAAUGCAUAAUAUUAUCCAAGACGUACGUACGCAAGAAAGAACGGUUUGUUCCUACUUCAAAAGCUCUCGUGGUGUAUGAGAAUGAGCCACGUGUCUAAAUCUAGUCAACACGUGUCAAGAGACAACGAUGUGUCGGUUAUAUAUGUCACACGUGUCUCCAGUUUUAAGAUGCCAGAGACAUGCAAAGGUGGCAAAACAUUGUCAUGCAUGUCCUUCUUUAUAAACCUUUGUCUGGAAACAUUUCUCACAACGAGUACAGUGUACGUAGAAUCAAUUUCCUAUUCAAAUUCAAUCAUGGAUUCAAGAGCAGUUCAAACUCAUGCGCAUGAACAUCACCAUAUUUCCCACAAUGUUGGGUCACACGAAGGUAACAAUCUCAUUUAAUUUGAAUUUGUAAGUUUAAUUUGUUUUUACAAGAACUUUUGUUUGCUUCCUCUAGUGGGUAUGCAUUAAUUAAUUUGUUUGAUAUUUUGCUUCAAAUUUUUGGAUGUAGUGCCACGUGGUGAAGAACACCACCACCAUGACCAUGAGAAGAAGUCGGUUCUUAAGAAAGUCAAGCAAAAGGCUAAGAAAAUUAAGGACACAAUUACAAAGCAUGGCCAUCAUCAUGACCAUGAUCAUGAACGUGGUCAUGGGUAUCACUACGAUGAUCAACAUAUCCCUGAUGAUCAUGACUUGGGUGAGGAAGAUGAGGUGGAUGAAUACCCAGAAGUCCAUGGAGCACCGAGUAAGUUAUUUCCUAGCACAUUAGAAUUAAUCAUUAUAUGUUCAACUCUUUCUGUAUCCUUUUCUUAAGUGUUGGGAAUUCUCAUGGGUAGUUUAACAAGUGCCAAUAUGCCUUAAGACUACCUAUACAUUAGUUGGUCAAUUAUCAAUUAAUGUCAAGUAUUCUAGAAGAAAAUUGGAGCCUUUAAAUGAAAAGAAUCAAGAAAAAAAAAUUGAUUUCUUGGGUUAGUUAUAAUAAUAGACAUGAUUGUUCUGCAGUUUAUGACAGUGCACCUGUUAGAGGUGCAGCACCAGGACAUGUCAAUCCUUUAGGGAGGCCUGGAGUUAACUUUGGAGGUACAACAGUUAUGGGAGAACCUCAUCAUGAGCCAAGUGUCAUAGUUGUUUCUCCAACUACUGGAAUUAAUCAAAGAGGAUCAACUGACCCAACUAGAACAUUUGUUGAGGGAGCCAAAGCAGUGCAUCCUAAGGUCAAUUUGGAGAGACCAAUGCACUUGGAGGAAGAUCCACAUGCGCCAAGGCGUACAUCUCAAGCAUAUGCUCCACCCAAUUAUCAAACAAAAGUCACUGAUCCCACGGGGGCAGGUAAGUUGAACAAAGCAGCAUAACUCAAUUUUUAAUGAUCUGUUCAACUUACCUGCAAUUAAGGAUUCCUUGAUGUAUAAAAGAUGAUGUGUUAAUAGCUGGUUAAAUUGAUAAAAUGUUGUGAUUUUGUGAGGUCCUCAUGUGGUAUUUUGUGAGAUCCACAAGUUCUAUAAUAAUCCAAACUAGAAUUGCACUAGAAGUUGUGUCGUAUCAUCUUUUGUGUGGACAAAUAUUUAACAUGAACUAUAUUUAACAUCUUCAAUGUGUGAUUUCUUUUUUGUUUACUCGGGAGUCAUUCAGAGGAUGUGGUGCUUCUUGUUAACAAGUAGCAUUAGCAAGCAUACCUUGAGCUAAUUAUAAUCCUAUUCUCAUGCCAUUUUAUUCAUUAUCUCUUAUGGCUAAAAGGUGGAGCAGAAAUUGACAUCACCACAGUUGAGAAAUCUUUCUCCAGGAUGGCUGUUCUCAACGAGCCAAAACCUUACCCAGAACCAAAACUCUUUCCAACUAUUGCUCAAACCCACUACCCUUCUUCUGUAAGCCACUCCCAAUUCGCGCCAGAGCAUUCCACUGCAAUGAACUACCCUUCUGCUCAAAGCUAUGAUCAUUGCAUGCCAGAACUAUCCAGUGAAGUUAAAACUCAGUACCCCAAAAGCCAUAAUCAGUUUACGACAGAGUUAUCUACACCAACCAAAACUCCCUACCCUUCCCCCAAUAUCCAUGGCCACCACUUGCAACAACAAUCUAGUGCAACAAAAACCUACCCUUCAUCUGGAAGCCAUGACCAGUUUGCUCCAAUGUCAGAGUUACCUACACCAACCAAACCUCAAUACACUUCUACCAAAAUCCAUGACCAACCCUUGCCAUUGCCACAACAACCUAGUGCAACAAAAACUCAAUACCCUUUACCUGGAAGCCAUGACCAGUUUGCACCAGUGUUAUCUACUGAACCUAAAAUUCAGUACCCUUCAACAAAAAUCCAUGGCCAACACUUGCCUCACCAGUUUACUGCUACAAAAACUCAAUACCCUUCAUCUGGAAGCCAUGAUCAGUUAAAACCAGAAUUAUCUUUCUCUACUGAACCUAAAACUCCCUACCCUUCUUCUACCAAAAUCAAUGAUCACCACUUGCCACAACACUCCAGUGCAAGUGCAACAAAUGCUCAAUAUCCUUCAGCUAGAAGUCAUGAUCAGUUUCUACCUGAAUAUUCAAGUCAAACCAAAACCCCAAAAACCUAUGGAGACAACCAAACCACUCAAACAAGGCAUCAAGAAGAGAACAAAGGCAAUGAUAAACCAUCAACAAUCUCUUUAGCAACAGCUGCAAUAGCUGAUAAAGCCGUGUCAGCCAAAAACACCGUGGCUUCUUCGCUUGGAUAUGGAUAUGACGCUGACACUGAAACAACUCAAUCAAGGGACCACGAUGAGAACACCCACGGUGAAAAACCAUCAGCAAUCUCUUCAGCAGCCUCUGCAAUUGCUGAUAAAGCCGUCUCAGCCAAAAACAUAGUCACUUCCAAGCUCGGAUUUGGCGACAACACUGAAACAACUCAAACAAGCCGUCAAGAGAGAACACAACCAUCAACAAUCUCAUUGGCAACAGCUGCAAUAGCUGAUAAAGCCGUCUCAGCAAAAAACACUGUAGCUUCCAAGCUCGGAUACGGCGACAGCACUGAAACAACUCAAACAAGCCAUCAAGAACAGAACACAGGCAAUGAAAAACCAUCAACAAUCUCAUCAGCAACCUCUGCAAUCACUGAUAAAGCUGUAACUGCCAAAAAUGUUGUAGCUUCAAAGCUCGGAUAUGGCGACAACACUGAAACAACUCAAACCACUCUAGCAAGGAAUCAAGAAGAGAACACAGGCAACGAGAAACCCUCAACAAUCUCAUCAGAAACCUCUGCUUUAGCUGAUAAAGAUGCCUCGGCAAAAAACAGUGUUGCCUCUAAGCUUGGUUUCGGUGACACAGCAAGAACACAUGAAGAGAAGAGAAC